RNAcentral lists this long non-coding RNA (88205 nucleotides) under Cucumis sativus (cucumber). RNAcentral describes it as "long non-coding RNA (CSAT_LNC001708)". The record is from RNAcentral. Lineage: Eukaryota; Viridiplantae; Streptophyta; Magnoliopsida; Cucurbitales; Cucurbitaceae.
UUUCUUUUUUUUUUUUUUUUGGGCUGCGAAGCUUGUUGACAGCUUGAGUUGCAAAAACGUGGGCUCGAAUCGGAUGCUGAGUAAGAGCCUAGAACUUGUAACACUAAUUUGUACUCUUGUAGACAUGUGACGUUCUUGAUUGAUCCUAUGAUUUGAUAGUUUUAAUGAAUUUAUUUCUAAAAAAAUUAUGUCAUAAACUAUUCUAAAUUGUGUCAAUUCUUUUGUAUUAAAUUGUGAGCCAAAAUACUGUGAUACCAUUGGACGUAGGCAAAAGAAAAUUCCUCCCAUAUAAUUUUAUUAUAUUCUUAGACUUAAUGUCUAUUUAACUUUAUUAAAAACAAAACCAUUUUUAAAUUAAGGGUGAUACAUUAAUCUUCAAUUUAGGUGGAUGUUUCCGGAAACAUGUUGAUUGAACUCAAUUCUCUUCUUCUUCUUUCUCUCUAUGAAUAAUAAAAUAAAGCAUAUCGGAUAUAACUUUUAACAUUAGAUCACAAAUAGAAAUGUAAAGAUUGAACCAACAAAAACAAUGUGUAUGCGCAAUCAAAUUGAAAACAAAUAAAUGAAAUUGUAAUAAUUAAUUUUUAAAGAAUAAAAAAAUGGAAAAAGGGUAGAGAAAAUGGACAAGUGGAAGAUAUUGGUAUCAACCGAAAAGGUUUGGAUGGAAUGAGAUAUAGGAUAGGGGAGUAUGUAGUACCCACUUAAAUAGUGUCCAAAAAUCUCCUCUCUAGAGAUGACCAACUCUCAAACUUGUCCAAACAAAUGGAUAUAUUAUAUCACAUGAAAAAACUAAUUCCACCGCUAAAAGAAUAUAUAAAUUAAAAAGAAAAAAACAGGUUCGAUAACUAUUUAUUUAUGAAAAAAAAACCGAAUGAAUCGAAAGCAAUUAGUUGAAGAUAAAGGGAAACCGACCGAUUGACUAACUAGUAACGGGUUGGUUUAUACUCCAUAAUCGAAGUUAAUUUGGUUGUAAAACGAAUUACGACCGACCAAUGCUCACCCACACUCAAUAGAUUUUUUCCACUGCUUCAUCUACAUUUUCAACCCUACUUACCAUUUGAUAAAAUAAUGUUAAUACCAAAAGAGGCAUGCUAAGCAAAAUUUCUUGCGAUUAUAAAACUCUACACAAGAAAAGAAAAGCUUCUCCAAUUUGAACAAUAUACCAUCUUAUAUACUAAACAAUAUAUGAGAUGAGAUGUAUAUUUACUAUUUUCUAUUAGUAUAUCUGUAAAAACACCAAAAAGAGAGAGAGAGAGAGUCUAUUAAAAGAUAAUUAAAAUGUACCAAAAAUGUUAGCUGAAAACUAGUUAUGAAAUCUCUCUUUCAUUAAAAUACUCAACACAUUAACUCAUUUGCAAUCAAACAGAUACUAACCUAACCACAUAUCAUCACACAGAGUACACAAUAAGAUGCCAACCAAAGACAUCCAAAAUUCUCACCAAAUACACACAACCAAACUGGAAAUCAAAUGACUGACCAAAGUAUAGGUAUAUAACCGAGACAUUGUAACAUGCAUACACUAUUUCGAGAUCAUAUAUUAUCCUAAUAAUUAAGUUUGUUAUCAAUCUCAGUAAGAGUAACAAUCUGAAUGAAAUAAAUAUAUAAAUAUCCCCUACGAGAUGAGAGAAACUAGCUUAUGUCAUCAAAAUUCAGUUCCACUAGGCCAGAUGGAGGAUAAUUAAUAUGGGGAAAAAAAUCUAAAAAACCAAGUGAAUUCAGAAGCUAUGGUAACUUCACCUGUUCUACUUGGAAAGUGCCUAAGGAUGGAUUAAUUAGGAGCUAAAGUAACUUCAUCUGUUCUACUUGUUGCUGAUGGUUUCCAUAGACAGUAUAAGCUCCAUAAGCUGCGUGAUACAUACUUGGAUCGUGAGGAGAUGCCAACCCAUAUCCAUAUCCAUCAUAUAUGUGCCCUCCGUAGUAAGCUCCAUUCCAUUGGUUCCCAAAAUCUCUGAACUGUUAAACCUCAACAAAUGCAAGAAAAAAUACUGUUAAGUUUGAUUUAACUAACAAUCAAACGAGUCUGAUGAUAAGAAUUCAGAAGCAAUGGUAUUUCUCGACUACGGGUUUCCGAAUACAGUUCUGUAACUGUGACAGAGUUCAGACAGAAAGAACACAAGCUACCACGAGUUUUUAGUUAGGCAAACACUUCUUUUUUUAAGGAAAAAAUAUUAAACAUGGAACUUCAUCAACCAUAGUAAAAUUCGGACUUUAUAUGCAUAGUUCUUUUGUUAUCAUUUACAAAUUAGCAGAGAAGGGUAAUUUGCCUGCUUAUUUGCUGGAUUUCGACCCCAAGAAAGACGAACAGUUUGCUUGCCAAUUACAGUUCCAUUUAGUUUCUGCAAAGCCUCUUCAGCAUCAUUUCUGAAAAGGAAAAUUGAGAAGAAUAUGCAACAGAAAUUAGAACUUAUUUGUUAACAAUACUAAUAACCAGAUGGAUAUACUAUUUCAUUGUUUAUAUGAUAGGAAAACCUGAUUACAAACUUUUUACCUGUUGGCAAAUUGGACAAAUCCACAUCCUUUACCAACUGGUAUUUUAACAGAUACAAUCUCACCGUACUGUGAGAAAGGUUGCCUCAGGUCUUCAUCAGUGACAUUAGGAUCAAGCCCUCCAACAAAUAUCUAAAAGAAAAGCUCAGGUUAACCCAAGAAUAGAAGGUGAAUUAUCUAGCUAUGCAAACAAGAAUAACGAAAGCAACUCACAGUUGUAUUUGCAGAAUCUCCUUCAGAUUGGAGACCUUGGCUGAAGUAACCAUUUGUUGAAUAUCCUCCUAUCAAAACCAAAGGACAGCAUAUAUAUAUGCAGUUCACAAAGCAUGAGUAAACCCUAAGAAAUUAGGUAUUCAAAGAUAUAAAUCCUUAAAAUUGUUUCAUUUGGAUUGAAACGAGAAGAGAAAAGGAAGUCGUACCCAAACUAACAAUGAUUUCAAAAAGAUCAUUUUCUUUGAAGAUGCUUUUUCAUAACUAUUUUUGCUCUAGGAGAAUUUAGAUUACUCUAUUAAUGUUGUCUCCUACCAUACAAAUGGCUUCAAUUCAAAACUUGCUAACACAAAUUUACCCUGGAUGGCCUAUCUUAUUAAUAAAAAUGGCAGUCAGAAAAGAAAACCACUUAAAUAAAUAUGUUGCAUUAUUGGAUGCCUGAAAAAUGAAAAGUAUAACAAAUAGAUAAUAUCUUCAGCCUGAAUUACACGCACAGGAAGUAAACUGACUUGCAACCCUUGUUUGACCAUAAGUCAAUAUAAUAGAAAGUUAGGUCUUUUGUUAUCUAACAUUAUGUUUUGACACACAAACAUUAACCUCAACAAAAUUUCUUAAGUAAAACGAAAUCAAACUGCACACCCUCUUUGUUAGUAUUAUAGUUCUUAUUUUCAUAACCUUUUUUGAUACAUGACCUGAAGUCUUAAACCAAUUGUCCUGCGGAGAAAAGAAACCUUUCAUAUUUUUAUUUAUCCCAGAACUGCACACCCUCCCCAAAAAAUAAUCCGAUUCCUAAUCCUUCUUGGAAGUGGUUUUAGGCUAAGCACACUAAACCAUAAAAUUUAAACAUACCUCCUUGUGAAGAAUGCUGCUGCUGAUAUCCAGAAGACUUUCUGGGUGUUGCAGCACCGAUGCGCAUGGGUCUGCUUGAACAAUAUAUACCAUUCAUUUCAGUCAUGGCCUGAGACCUUUCAUUGUCAUCUCCAAACCGCACAAAACCAUAACCCUUUGAACGACCAGUGUUGGCAUCAAUUACAACUUUUGCUGCUUUAACAGAAGGAAAUUUACUAGAAAAUGUUUCGUACAACAAAGAAUCGGUAACAUCUGCAGCUAAGUCUCCAACGAAAAUAGAAAGAUCGGGAUCAUUAUCUGAUCGCUUGUCACCAGUACUAAAUGUCGCCCAAUUCAGGCGGAAAGUCUGCUCUGUACUUGGCAUGAACAUUCCCGAAUAGUUCUGAAGAACUUUCUCAGCAGUUGUAUGAGAUAAAAAUUCUACAAAUCCAUACCCUUCAGACAAACCCGUUUGCUUGUUACGAAUGACUUUCAUAGACGAAAUCUGCAUCAUACAGAAAAUAGAACAAUCAAUGUUCAACGUGAUCAUGUCAACCAAAGAACAAUUCAAAAAUGUUCAACAAGAAAAAAGAUUGUCACAGAACACCACGGGAUGUAAAAUGUCAAUUACUAGAGAAUGUAUUCUUUCAUUUACUAACAACAUAACCUACUAUAGUAUUUCUUCAUAUACAUUUCACAAUAUUUCUCAAUAGGCUGUGAAUUUGAGAGGUUAGGAGAUACAGUCAUUCUAAACAUCUAAAAGUCUUAAAACAAACAGCCAAUUCUCUCAUUCAGAAUUGUUUAAUUCCAAAAACAUUUUUACAAAAUACAGUGCUACACUUUUAAGCAGAUUCUUCUCUAGCUUACUAAUAUAAGAAAAAAACGUAAUCAAAUCUGCAACAGUCAACUCCAGUAAAUGUUCACUGCCUAAGAGUAGCAAAAACUGUUUUUUAAUUUUCAAAAACAAAAUCAAAUAUUUGAUCAAAUUUAUAAUUGUCAUGUAGUUCUGCUCUUCCGUGUUGAAAUUGUACAACGACAAUCAAGUACGGAAACCACCAAAAAAACAAAAAUCACCAAAAUAAGAAACUAAGGAAACAUUCAAUAUUUAUACCCUUACUAUAACGAAGAGAAUGUAUCACUUUCUAAAGACCGAUUUAAUUGAGAACUUCAACGACGAAAAUUCCAGCAAGUCACCAAACAACCCAUCAUCGAUUCAUCGUAACAACUUAUUAGAUUAGUAAUGUACAUAGAGCGAAUGUUACACAUUAAUCACCAAACUAAAAAAAAAAAAACGCGUAAAAAAAACAGAGAGAUAAUUGGAAAAGAAGAUAGAAAGCAAACCUCGCCGACAGAAGAGAAGCAGGAAUGGAGGUAACUCUCGUCCAUCCAAUGAUGCAAGUCACCGACCCAAAUCGUCUUAUUUUCACUACCAGAUCCCUUCAGCGGUUGCGAAGGUUGAAUAGGGAGAUGAUGGUGGUGAUAUUGAUGAUGAUAAUGCAUAUACGGCGGCGGUAACGGCGGCGCCAUAUAAUGCUGUGGCGUCAUCAUAUGAUGCGGCAUUACCAUGGGCGGCGGCGGGUACUGCAUUGGCGGUAUCCAUGGGUGCGGCUGUUGUUGAUGCCGUUGAUUUGGUUCCUGUGGCUGCGAAUCAGAACCGUUGUUUUGCAUCUUAUCUUCCUUCCUUCCUCCGUAUUAAAGUGGAAGAAAAACAAUGAAGCAGAAUUUAAUGUAAAAAUCAAAACCCAAAAUGGGAAAAGGAAUCAGAGAAAAAGAGAAAGAAUCAGAGAGUUAGAAAGUGAAAGUGAAAGUGAAAGUGAAAGAGGGAGUGGAUUAGGGUGUAAGUUUGAAGGAUUUAUUGGAAGAUUGGAAAGAAAGAGAUAGAAACCGGAAGUUUUUUGUUUAUGGGGGAAUGCGGUGGGCUAUACACACCCUUGGAUUAAGGGAGAGAAUUGAAUCUGGAUUGUUGAUUUUAGAAUGGUGUCCGGAGCAAUGGCUUGAUCCGCCGCCAAUUACCCUUUUUCUUCUCUAACCCCCAAGUUGAUAUGAUGUCAGCAUCUUACUAUUUCCUUAUAUACUUCUCUUAAUAAUAAUCACUCUUAAUUACUUUUUCUUUUCAUUCUUCCCUUUUCUUAAAAUAGGAAAUUUUACAAAAAAAAAACCUUUUUAUUUCUUCUUCCUUCAAAUUAGGAAUGCUUAUUUCUUCAUUAACAUUUUUGUACUUUUAUUUAUUUCCUCUUUUAACCCAAAUUACCUCAUCAAUUUUUUCUUCUUUUAUAUUUUCUUCAGUGAUUUAUUUAUACAUAUAUAUAUAUAUAUUAGGAAUUUUGUUUUAACAUACCCAAAAUCCUUCAAAAACUUAUAAAUAUACCCAAAUUUUAGUUUUACCUAGUAGACUUGAAGAGUAAUUAUCCAUCAGCGUGAGUCGGUUUUCGAUCAAACUACUAUCUAAUUUACUUUCUCGGUUUUUUCAAAUUAUCCUUGACUAUAAAGAAAUACAAACCAACCGUUACUUGGUUUGGAUUGGCUUGAGCCGACUUAGACCUUUGGAAUCUUUGAAAGAUGUCGAUUUGGAUUUUUUUUUCAAACCAACUCUGGUUCAAUCCAUCCUUGUUUUCAAUGGAUCUAUUAUAUUUACACUUGAUGGCUCAUCAUAAUCUAUCGUAAAUAAAAAGUAAAAUUUUAUUACGAGUUUGUUUGCUGUAUUUGAAAACUCUUAUUUAUUUAGAUGGGCCAUUGUUUUCUUUGGAUCAAAUUCAGUGUCUUUGGGCCCAAGUAGUUUUGGAUCAAAUUGAGGAAUGUCCAGUUGUCCACCAUACUCCAUUUUCUAAAUAAAUUAUUAGAUUGAUUUAUCUUACUUUUUGUUUGGUAUGUAAUUAUAGGGAAAAUUACACUUAAUUAUAUUCUUAAAUUUUCAAAAAUAAUAAUUAAAUAUUUAAGUUUAUAAAACUUUGAUAUUCAAUUUUUAUCAUCCGUAAGUCUAAUAUAUAAUUAUUAUAAGAUUUUUAGAUUUUUCUACUCAAAUAUUCCAACUACUUUUUUCAAUAUAUUUUAUAUUUGGUACACGAACUAUCUUGAACAAUCAAAUAACAGUUUGAAUUUUUUUAAAAAAAAUAUUUUUUUUUCAUAUUUAAUACAUGAUUUUGACCAAAUAACCAUUUUUUAAAAAAUAAAAGGAAAAUUAGAAAAGAAUAGGAGAAUAAGGGGAUGUAAAAGAAAAUAAAAACUAAAAGAAUGGACAAACAUACAAUAUUUAAAAAUAACUUUUUGAAGUUAAUUAAAUUGCAUUAAGUUAACUAUAUUUAAGUUGCAGUAAACUUGUUUUUUUUUUUAAGUGUCGAUAGAUAAAUCCAACCAUUCAAUUCAUUUGUAGUUAAAUAACUGCCUAUGAUCUAAAUCUAAGGUAUUUAAGAAGUUAAUUACAACCUAAUGUAGUGAUAUUGAUAGUGACUGAUAAUUAGUAUUUUAAGGCCUAUACAUUGAGAAAGCAUAAAGAAUCCUUAUUAAUUUUAUUUAAAUAUGUUUUGUGCUUUACAAAAAUACAAUAAGUUUUAGAAAUAUAAAUUUAUGAUUUUAAACAUGUUUUUCAUAAGAUGAAAUGAAAGAUAUAUUAUAUGUCAUGUAUCCUUAUUCAAUUUUAAGUAGUAUUCAUGCUAUUUUCCUUUGAUCAUCUAUCAUUUUCAAUUCGUGGUUUAAUUCGACAACACCGAUUUAUUUCUUUUAUUUGAAUUUAUAUUGUUAAAUGAAAUAUUAGUUAAUGACUAUGGAAAGAGUUGCUAAAUUAAGUAAACUUAAAUUAAUUAGUCGUAUUAACACGACAUCUAUCCUAAAAACAGUCGAAAGUUCAUUCUCAUCUCGUCAUGAAAAAAGUUGAGAAAGUACAUAUAGAAAAAUAAAAAAUCCAAACUCCCAUAACUAAUUAUACAUUAUAAAUAGAUUUGAAGUACAUAUCCAUAACAAUAAAACAUGCAUUAUGAACAUAAUAAAAUAUAAAUACAUAACUAAACUAAGUUACUAACUAUAUAUCAUGAUUAAUAACUUGUAUAAUAAGUGAUUUAUAAAAUAUGAUCUAAUCUUAAUGUAUUUUAGAAUCCAUGUGGCUGGUUGGUGCAACAGAGUGACCGGCCCCAGGGCUAUGGCCCGGGGUGGUUGGACGAAAGUCGCCGCCUAGCACCUCCGCGUUGCUAGUAGUAAAGAAAGUGUCACGAUCAAAUGCUAGUGGUUCCGACUUAAGAGGAGCAACGGCAACCGUUUCUUCAAUUUUUGGAUGGAGAUCUUUGGAAAUUUCGACGCGAUCGAGAUUCUUCGUCGGUGGCAUUCUUGCUUGAGUGUGUGAUACAUGGAAGGUAGAAGAUAAAAUGAGGAUGGCAACGAAGGUAGAGAUGAGCUUAAUUGAUGGAGUACUCAUUUUAGUUGUUUGAGAAAUGGAGAGAAAUCUUAGGUUAUAACUCAAAUGAGAGAGAAGAGAAAAGGUGUUGGGAUGAUUCCAAGCUUUGAACAAAUAGAAGUAUUUAUAGAUAUUUUUUUGGUUCAAGGAAGAUACUCAUGUGCUUUUGUGUUAGUGCUCAUUAUUGUUGGAAUUUCUUUUUUCUUUUUCUCAUCUAAUCCCUCAUUUUAAAUAAAUAUAUAUUAUUUUAUUUGGUUAACCCUUAUUUUUUUUAUGUAAUAAGGUCCAUAUAUAUAUCGUUAUGAAAAAGUACUCUCGAUGCAUACAACUGUUAAAAAAUAGCACAAAAACGCAUUGGAAGAUCCUCUCUUGACGCCAUUGGCACCGUCAGAAGUAUAGUAAAAAAAUUCCCGUUAGAAGAUAAACUCCUUACGUCGAUCGUCAUCUUGUCGAAAGAGAGAUUUUAAAAUCGAUUAUAUUCAUUGGCACUAAAGAAACUCUAGACGUUGUCCCUUCAUCAUUAGAACUAACCACUGUUAUACGAAAUCAGAAAGAUGAACUUUGAUUCCUUUUUUCCUAUAGUGUUAAUGACUAUCCAUAAAUUUUGAGGGGGAAAAAACCGUCGUGUUAAUUUUAACUCAUUCACUAACUGUUGUGAUCUCAUACUAACAUAAAUAUUUAACUCAAACAAAAUACAUGGGUGCCCUCAAAUUACCCUUAUCUUUGUGCAUCACCUCAAUAUUCAAUCACAAGGAAUUGUGUGGUAAAUUACUUUUUUUUCAUAUAUACAUUUUAUUUUUUACGAUUGAAAAAAAUGUACGUAAAUGAGUGUGGUAUAGAUUGCAGUUAGGUAUCACCUUUUUAAGAUAUAUGUGUAUUUAAAGAUAAAUUAUUUUUUUGAUUACAUCUAAAUACAAUGUGUAUAUAUAUACUUUCAUUGAAAUCAUUACAAAUUUACUUAUUUUAAAGCCAAAUGUACUUGUUCUAAUUUUUUAAAUUCCUGUACUGAUCUUUUUUUUUAUACAAAUUCUAAUUUUUGUUUUAGAAUUUAUUUGAUAAAGAUUUUUUCUUCUAAUUUUUUUCUUUAAUUGAUAAAUAUUAACUUUUUAAAGUUGGGUAAAAAUUCAUAUUCCAAAAACCUCCUUUAAUUUUGACUUCUAUCAAUUUUUUAACAAUCAAUAAUAAAUAAGUUAGUUCCCCCCAAAAGAGGGUUAUAGAAUAAUAAGGUCUAAGACCACCCAAUUAAGGAUUUUGAAUAAAAAAAUGACUUUGACUUCAAUCAGUAUCAUGUCUACUAAAUAUAUAUAUACAUAUAAGAUUAGCAAAGCUAGACUCUAAGGCAUAAUUUUGGUAACGAUUUCUGCCUCACUUGAUUACUACUAUGGCUUUUUUAAGAUUAAGCUUAUUUAAUUUCUCUAAACUUCAUUUUGAAUUCUUGAUAGAUUUAUAAACAUAAAAACAAAGUUUUGAAAAACUAUUUUUUUUUAUUUUUCUUGGCUUAAAUUUUGAACACAUAUAUAUAACAUCAACAAGAGGAGUACUUAUCAAUUUAGUUUUUAAUAACUAAAACCCAUAAACCGUUUAGGUUUGUUUUCUCCCCCUUGCUCAAUUAUAAUUUUAACCAUUGUUAAAAGAAAUACUUUAAUCUUCAAUUAAAUUAUCAAAUUUAAAAAAAAAAUGCUUGUUUUAGUUCUCAAAACUCCAUUUAUUUUUUUAAAUAUAUAUAUAUAUAUAUAUAUAUAUAUAUAUAUAUAUAUAUAUAUAUAUAUAAUGAAAAUAGAUAGUAAAAAGUGUAUAAAAAAAUAAUGAAUAGAAUGUAGUGUUCAUACACUUUUGAUUUUGGAAAACCAAAUAAUUAUCAAGUGAAAAAAAAAAUACAUCAUGGAAUUUUAAUUUGGAAAGGUAAAAGAAAACAUGUUUAUUUAUUAUUUUUUUUUUUUGUAAUUAAGAAAAGGUAAAUUGGAAUUGGGAAUUGGGAAUUGGGUAGGAGAAAAGGAAAGAAAAACUGUAGAUUUGAAAGAGGAGAAUGAUUAUGUGCCCCAAGAUUCUCCUAGAGCAAGAAAGUGUGAAGAGAGAGAGAGAAAUAUAGUCUUUUGGUAUCUUUUCAAAGGGCAAAAUAUUGUUGUUGCUCCAUUAGCAAAUUUGCAUGUCCCAUGCAAAAAAAGGAAGUUCCAUUUUAGAAUGACUCAUUUCCAAAGGGAAUAUGUAAAUUGCAUCCAAAUAGAAUCAGUUGCUAUUUUGGAAUAAAGAAACCAACCCAAAGUGCCAAACCCACUUACUAAAACUCUCUACUACCAAACCCAAUUUUGACUAAAAACUUUACCAUCUCUACCUCCAUUAUGCUUUACUUUCACGUGCUUCCCUUUCCUCCUUAUUUGUCAAUUUAAACAUAGUUCAAUUGACUAUAACAAUUUUAAUAAUUUAUUAUUGUUGUAUGAUGUACCUUCAAUACGUGUAAAUCUUCAUACACGUAUUAAAACAAAGCAAAUAAAUGGGAACACACAAAUUAAAGUGAAAAAACAAAAAUCACGAGCUAAAGAAAUUUACCAAAUGAAAAAUUAUUACAAAUCACACAGAAAUCCAUCUUAAAGGCAAACAAUGGAGCUUGUUAACUAUUUCAUGCUUCAAAUUAGAGUACUAAAAACCAAAGAUUAAGAUCCUUUUAUAGCACUUGAACACCAUCACUACAUUGAGUGGUUUCAAAGGUAAUAAGUAUCUUGACAAUAAUAAGUAUCUUGACAAUGUUGGAUUGUUGUGCGUAAGGAUGACUAAAGGCAUCACACUGCUUUUAAUCAUCUCAAGCUUGAGACACAGUAAAACUCUAUUGAACAAAUAAUCAUCUUGCUCUUUUAUGUUCGAACAUAUAAUUUAUGGUUACGACAGAAACAUGUUAUCCUAGCUAUGAUUACAAAGCUAUACCAAGAGGUCCGUCUUCUUUGACCAAGAAAUUAGAGGGCGGCGUUAUGUUAAGACGAAGAUAAUACAAAUGUAAUACUUCAUCAAAUAGAAAAUAGAAAAAGAUACCAAUAGAAUGAUUAAGAUUCUUUUGAUAUUCCAAAAGGCAAUUGAUAAUGGUAGAGAAUCAAAUGGGUUGAGAUUCGUUGGGGAUCUUAUUAGAUUGAGAACUAGUGUGUUGAAAAAGCAAAGCACUUCAAACGGCAAAUGCUUCUCCUAAAUCCAACAGUGACAAAUAUUUUGCCUUGUUUACCCAAACCAACGGCUGUUUGUUUUCUCUUGCUUUUCUUCCUCACCUUUGUCUUUUUAUCUGUAUUUGGAUCUUAUUUAGCACAACAAUUCGAGUUGCUCUCCAAUGUCCUCAAAUAACCAUACCACCAAAUUAUACAUACAACUUCCAUCCUAAGAAUUGAAAAAUAACUAUUGAUCAAAAUUGCCAAUAAGAGUCUAGCUCCAUUGACUCCUUCAUGUACUUAAAGGACCAACAAGUUUCGGGUUCAAAUCCCUCGCUCCCAAUUUUUACAAAAAAAAAAAAAAAACAAUAGUAAUAGAUCAAAAUUCUGUCAAUAGAACUCUAUUAGAAACAAUAACUUUUUUUUGUUAUUUAGUUUUUCCCAAAAAACUAGAUUAGUUUCAAAACAUAAUUUUAUUUAAAAAAAGUGAACAUAUGUUAUUAAAAAAGAUUAUCACUAGAAAAAGGAAAUAUAAAGUGCAUAAUCCUAUUCAAGAAAACUUUAGUAUGCUUCUAAACUACUAUAUUUUCCUGAUAUGUUUUGAAGUGCAUAAUCCUAUUCAAGAAAGCUUUAAUUAAAAUUGGACAAGUUCCUAAAGUUUGGAAAUGCCUUUUAAUGGCCUUUCAAGUCAAUUUAUCACUAAUGGUUCAAUUGAAGGAUUUGUUUUUUAAAUUAUUUAUUUGAGAAGGUUCCAUGGAAGAAUAUAAUAUAACAAGUAACAAGUUAUCAUUAGUGCCUCAAAUUAUUUCUACUCCAUCAAAAUUCUUGGUAACCCUAAAAAAAACCUGUUUGGAUGGAUUUUCUAAGUACUUAGAAAUACUUGUACUUUUUAAGCACUUAGAAAACCAGUUUAAAUAGAGACCAAAUAAUUUUUAAGGGUUUUGAGGCUUUUAAACAGUAGAGGUGUAAUGAAGCUUUUAAAGUUGAUUUUAUCAUUUGAUAAAGGUUGCACCUAAACUAUACAUAAAAGAAAAGGAAAGUGUUGGGCUUUUUAAUUCAGUAUACUAACCUUAGCAUGUGGCCGAACGAAUUAGAAAACCUGUGCAAGAUGAACAACCAAUGGAGAACUAUCACAAGGAUAAUUCACUCUUUCACAGCCUAAAUUCUCCUUAAUCAGAUGUCAAAGAUUGAAAAAGAUAAACAGGGGGAAAAUAGCGUUCCCCGCAGAUAAAGUAGAUUCACUCUGCAGUUGAAAUGACGAGAAUCCAAAAUUCAAAUGAGGUAACAGUUACUAAAACCACAUCUUUCUAAUUAUUAAAUUAAUCAAACGGGAAAACAAACUUUUUUUCUUUUGUUGAAGUAAACUGAACUAAAACUUAUGUUCAAAUAGCACAAUGAUUUAACACCGAUAAUGGUGGUAUUAAUAUAAUAUAAUUUUUAAAAAUAUCCGUUACAAGUAAGGGAAAUGCAAAUGCAGGAGUAGAUUCAUUACAAAAACAAGCUCAACACCGUUAACGGUGGUAUGGUUUUAAUAUAUAAUAAUAUCUCAAGAAAUGAUUUAUAUAUAAAUUAUGUGGGAUUAUGUAAUCAUCCAAACUUAAUUAGACAAUAAUAAGCAAUGAUAAGCGUUUAAUAUCGGUUGAAUUAUCAUCAAACUCAAGAACUUAAGCUCAAACAUCCUCAUAAAUUCAUAUUUUAAAGUAUAAAAACUUUCAAACACUCAUCCUUAUGUUGAAUUCAAUAUUAAUUGAUAUUAAUCGAGUGUGCUCAUAUCAUUAACAUGGGACCAAACAUAGAUUACUCUAUAAAGUAGAGAAAAAAAAAUCAUCACAAGAAUUUGAGUAAAUAAAAGUAAACCUAACAAGAUAUUAGUUAAACUAUAAAUAUAUACUUGUAUAAUAUUUAUGUCUAUUUGGUAAGCAAAUUUUAAAAAGUUUCAAGUUAAGCUCCGACCAUUUAGAUUUUGAAAACUAAUUUUAUUUCCUCGUAAUUUCUUACCAUGAUUUUUAUCUUUCUUAAGUUAAAGAGUAUAGUUCUUGGUCAAAUUUUAGAAACGAAAAUGGCUUAUUUAAUUUUCAAGACUCGGUUUGGUUUUUUUAACAUCGGUAGAAAGUAGAUACUAGAUACAAAAGCAAGAAUUUAGAAGUAGAAGUACAGCUUAAUUUUCAAAAACUAAAUAUCAAAUAGUUAUCAAACAUGCCUUGAAUUUUAGAUUGUACUUCUAUUCAAAUCCUAUCAUUGAUGUCGAGAAUCCUGAUAUAACAUGCCCAAUGAAUCAUGCUUGACCAUGAGAUAAAGCAAAGAGUGUUAUAAAGCAUAUGCUCAACCUUGUUGUUGGCUCUUAUUUGGUUUAUUCAAUAUUAGCUAGUCUUUUUUUUUUUUAAAUCUGUGAGCGCUCGGACUCACUUACACAGACUUUGAUUAAUCUCACGGGACAACCCGUUUGAUCCUAUAACAUUCAUGUAUAAGAAAACUUUGACCCUAUAAUGUUCAAGUAUAAAGAAAACUUGUAAAAAAUUAAUUAUUAGAUAGGUAACCACCAUGAAUUAAACUCGGGACCUCUUAGUUAGUUAUUGAAACUAUGUCUCAUUUUUUUACCAGUAGGCCAAUCCAUAGUGGUUUAUUAGUUGGGUUUUCUGAAAGUCAGGGAUAGUUUUCGUCAUCUUCUGUGCGGCAGUAAAGGAAACUUGCUUUGGUUGGAAAGAAAUUAUCACAUUUUUUAAAAAAAAAUCCACAUCUCUGUCGCUAAGUUUGAUUCGGCUUGUUUAAAGGCUUUUCAUGGAGCUAACUCCCCAAACCCUUAAAGGAUUCACAAUCCUAGACUGUAUCGUUGUUGGACUGUUUUUUUCAGAGUAUCUUAAGCUUUGGUUUUGGUUUCUAGUUUUUGUGUUUUUGCUUCGUCAUUUUAUGUUUUAGUUACUAGUUUCUUUUGUAUUUUUGAGUGUUGGUCUCUUUUCAUUUUCUAGCUAAUGAAACGCUUUGUAUCCUUUUCAAAAAAAGAGAAAAAAGGGGGAGAGGGAACACAUGUCAACUCGAUAAUCCGUUGAUGGUAUUAAUGAGAAAAAAUCAAAUAGAAGCACACCUUGCAUUUCAAACAAGUAAAUGAAAUUUUUUGAAAUUUAAAAGACUAAUAUGAUACUCUGAACACAAACGAAACAUAUAACCUAAUAUUUAAUCUUUUCGAUAGAUUCUUAACCAUAUCAAGAAUGAAAGUGCCAAUUUGAUUUUGUGCUGUGUGUCACUGUCUUGAACGAUGUUGAGCCACUAGGCAAAGUGAAAGUGAUAAUUGACCAAGUGCGCAUUACUGAUAAUGAUUUUGAAAUAUAUACACACAAAAAAUUAAAGAAAAAUGUAUGUAUAAAAUGUGAGAAAAAGGAAGGUGUAGAAAGCUUUAAACCCCACCAAAGCUAAGUCAAAUGAAUCCAAUGGUUCUCUAAAGUACUUUAGAAUGUGUACCUGAUGGUAUUUGAUGGAAUGUUGAAAAUAAUGGGGUUAGCUCCUCAAGUUGGGGAAGGUCACUGACUCCAUACCUUCAGCCACCACUGUCAAAAGUCGCUGAUUUGCUUUUCAUUACCAAUCAGAGUAUCAAAGCCUUUGAAUGGGGGCAACUCUGUAGACUCAUUGCAGCUUUGAUUGAUUGAAAGAGAGUGCCAUUUUCUGAACAUUGUCAACUGCUACCCCUGAAGAAAAAAAAAAGCUAUAUUAUUUGAAAUCUUAUCGUGUGUAAUUCAAAUUCAGAUUGUAGAUCCAUGUACCUAUAUUGCCAUUGAAUUGUUUAACUUUCGUAUUCAUCUACAUAUACCAGUUUCUACAAUACCAUUAAUGGUUUUGACAGUAAUUCUAUGGUUUUCGUUAGUCAUUAAUAUAAUAACAUGCUUGAAGAUUAAUCAAAAGAAAUGUUAUUAGAUGCAAAAAUUAAGAUCAUAUGGCAGAAUCUUGUUUUUUUUUUUCUUUUAAAGAAAAAAAAACUAGAGCACUAUUAAAAUUGAUGGUUAUAUGGAUGACAGUACAUUCCAAGUUGUAGUUCGAAGUGAAUAGUGAAGCUAUCAGAUAACCUAAAUUAAUGGUGUUGUAAGGCAUCAAAAUAAAAAUUGAAAGGAAAAAUAAGAAGCUCAUUCUCUGUUUAUUGAGGAGUUGUCAUUAAUUGAAACUAUCCAAUAUAGAAACAUUUUAGCUCUGUCCAACAAAAUUUCUCCAUCCGUAUAUUUGCUUAAUAAACCCAGCAGGGCAGCAUAACUUGUAUUGAGUUUGUUAAAAUUAUGCAAUUCAUUUUUUUUUCUUAAUUAGUAAAAUAAGGGUUUCUUUACUUAUUUUCCCACAAUGAAUAAAAAAUAACGUAAACUUUUGUACUCAGUUUAUGAAGAAUAAUACUUUCAUAAAAAAAAAGUAUCAUAAGCUCAAAUAAUUAUUUCCAAAAAGCAAAUGAAGAAUAAAAAAAAAGUUUCAUAAGCUCAAAAAAUUAAAGAGAUUUAGAUUUAGUAGCUCUAGAGUAUUUGGCCCAACAGCUCUGUUGGCAAGUUUGGUGUCUCUAGUUCAUACUAUCUUAGGGGUUCCAUGUUCGAAUCUUCUGGGGUCAAACCUUGGACCAGGGUCAAACCUUGGACCAGUGCUGGUAAGUAAAGGUCCAACUCCCAAUUAUUCAGCAAAUUGUUGUUAGAGCUAAAAUUAUGAUAUAUAUAUAUAUAUAUAUAUCAGCUGAGGGGUGAGAGAUUUGAGGUUAUCAGCUGAGGGUGAGAGAUUUGAACCUAAAACCUCUCACCCUCAGAUAAUACAAGCUUGUUUAUUUUCAAAUAGGAACAUAUUCUAAUAAAAUAGUAUAAGAAGUUUAUACUUUUACUUGUUAGCAUCAGGUAUUAUGAUGUCGUAUGAUCUGGUGAGUUUCAAGUAUAGAUAUUUUAUGCUGUUUUAAAAUCAAAGUUGAUCUAACAUUAAUAUUAAACAAAAUAACUUUUGCCAUCAUCUAACGGUCAAAAAGUAAUUAAAGUUGAACUAAAAUGUUGGUAUUUUAUUUUUAGAUAAUCUUCAUCUCUUUACUGUUUAUUUAAAGAUCAUAAUAAUAAUGAAAAUAUAGAACCUUGCACCCCUUCUGAUAAGAAAAAUGUUUAUUUCAUUAAAAAAUUAUAUUUUUAAAAAACUUAUGCAACCUUCUUUUUAUCAAUAAGUUCAUAACAACCAACUACCAAGGCAAAAAUAUCAUAAGCAAUUCUCAUAAAUCUUAUACUAGUGAGUUAUAACAUUAAUAAAAAUUUAAAUAAUAAUUUUAAAAAAAACUGCAGCUAUAUGGAACUCUUCUACGUGCAUCUCAGAAAACAAACUAAAUUACUUGUCAUUCCAGUGAAUAUCCAUAAGGAAUUAAUGCAAUUUUCACUCCGACCUAACACAAAAAAACCUAAAAUUCUGCAUAUUUCAGUUUAAGUUGCACUUUAUCUGAUUCUUAAUAGACAAGUUAGUCUGAGAAGCUGAACAACUUGACAGAGAUGAACAAUGUAAAUAGGAAUCCCCAACCCCUAACCUCACAGCCAUCAUAAAAUUAUUAAAGCAGAACAUGCUGUGCUAUGGGAUAUCUAAAAAACAAUGCUGGUUCCCGUGCUCUACAUGUCUGCCAGUAGACACUUUACCAUCCUUAGAUUUCUAAAUUGUAGGUAAUCUUAUGAACACUUGGUGAGAAAAUCUCUGUUUGACAGAUUAUAUUGGCAUGCAUGCUUCGUGCUUUCUUGUGAACAUUAUGGAAGGAAAGGAACAACCGCCUCUUCAAUGAAAAGGGGAGAUCUUUUGACACUUUUUUUUUUAUCAUACUGGCUACCUUGCUAUGACUUGGUGCAGAUGUACUAAUUUUUUCAAUUCUUACGAUCUGACUACACUUGACCAAUUGGAGAAAUCUUCUAUUACUCCUUUGCUUGGGCUCCUUGUCCUUCUUUUGUAAAUUCCAUAUAAUGAAAUUUGUUUCUUAUAAAGGAGAUUAUAUAUACAAAGACGAACCCUGCAUCGCAGGUCAACGAAAAGGAACCAAACUAAUUUCAAUUUAAAUGAUGUUACAGGAACCCUCUCCUAAAGAUCUGUUGUUCUAUGCUUUUUCAUAGGGCUUGGUUCUGUUCUCAAUUUUUUCCAAACUGUAACUGUAGACAGAAACCAACAACUAAUCAUUAAUAUCGUAUAUCGUAGUAAACAGCCCCUACCUAAGCAAACAACAUGCAGCAUAACAACAUUUAGUGCCUUUCUCUCUCCCUCAUUCCAUCCAAAAUUUAAAUGGUACAGAAUAUACUAAGCGCAUGAUUUUAGGCAUGUUUCGGGACACAAGAUAUUGGUUCAAAACAGAAUGGAAAAAUAUCCAACAAUCAACAUAUGGCCGAUGAUUCAUAAAAUAAAAAUAAAAGUAUCAAUCUUGGUAAGUUAAUCAACUAUGUGGAACUAAUUUAGUGAUAGACUUGGGAGAUAUCUCACCUGUUAGUAUUAGUCCUCCAGAAACUUUACACGUAGCAGCACAACUUCAAAGAAAACGAGUUCGAAAAUGAGACUGGUCCUAUGUUAAGAUAUAUCUUCGUUCAUAUAUCAAAAUUUAGAGACUACCGAAAAUCAGGGUGAGGCCAUGCUAGAUGCAGAAAAGGAAAAAGGAAAACAAUAUAAACUUUUCUGAUUAUUGAAUCAAAUGUGCCUCAAUCUCAGUUGAAGCACCUAAUUUUUUCUUAUUAAAUAACUGGUCCGUUUCUUUGUCCUCGACUCUUCAAUUACUCACAACUUGUGCAGCAUUUUUUUAAGGAAUUUUCUAACCGUAAUGGAGGUUGAAUAUGCAUUUGAUUUUGUAGACUGUAAUAUUGUUUAUUUAGAGAUAGUUUUUACACAUAUAUUAAUCAGAUUCUUUUCAUUCUUUAAGUCUUUAUCAUUACACUAGUUUAUACAGUAUAAUAAGUAUGUUUUAUUAAAAAUAUAUGUAGCGAUUGUAGUUUACUCACUCUAAGGCAACUAAUCUUGGAGACAAUCUUAAGUUCUACGAAAGGAAAAAAAUGUAAAAUGUACCCUACAUCCUAGUUGGUUAUCGAAUUUACUACAAGCCUCUUUGGAUAGAAGUAAGAGAAAUAUUUAGAAAAUAACAGCCCAUGACACCUCUUUUUUACAUAUUGUGAAUAUUGCAAAUAUGACAAAUAUGCAAGUAAUUAGUGAUAUCAGACGACUAUCAUAAGCCUAUUAGAGAGCCAUCAAAGGGUUAUCAGAGAGCUAUCAAAGGGUUAUCGGCUUUUAAUUUUACUACUGUUACAAUUUAGAAAAUGUAAUGACAUAGGCCCUAUUAUCAUAAAAUUUUUUACAAGCUCCCCUAGAAGUAAUUGUGAAGACUGCAACGUAGUAUCUUCAUAACAUGUUUUAUUGCGAAAGUUUGCCUCGUCAUUCAUUCAUGUCCAAUCUUUCCAUAACUUGAAAUAGAAAAAUCGACGAACUUUCAAAUUGUUUCCUCUUCCUUUGUCAUUGAUCUUACUAUUUUAUACAUAAUUAUAAAAGUCAAUACAGCCUCUUUUAUCAAUAUAAGAACAGUCAGUUUUUGUGAAAGGGCGGAAGUGAAAAAGAUAUAUAUUUAAUAUUUAUCAAGCACAUCAAUCUUUGUGGGCUUGAAAUAUUUGAAAGGCCCAACAAGUGGAAUCGAUUUUAAUUGGAGAGGAAACGAUAAUGUAGUGGCUUGAACACAGGACCUCCCUAAACCACCUGCUCUGAUACCAUGUUAAACUUGAUAGUAUGGGAUUCCAUACCAAAACCAUUUGGCAAUUAGAGGAGUAGCUCAUCUAUCUUAUAUGGGUAUGAGAUUUUUGGUUUUUUUAAUGUGAGACUCUCAACUUCCCCAACAUGCCCCUUCAAGAUGGUGCCUCUUCGGAUUCAUCUAUCUUGGACCAAAUAACCGUUUGAGCUUACUGGACUAUGAUACCAUGUUAAAUUUGAUAGUAGGGGGCUCCAUCUCAAAACCAAUUAGCAAUGGGAGGAGUAGUCCAUAUCUUAUAUAGAGUAUGAAUCUCUUUGAUUUUUUCUAUGUGGGGAAUCGAUUUUAAUUGGGGAGGAAACGAUAAUGCAGGGGUUUGAACACAGGACCUCCAUGAACCACCUGCGCUGAUACCAUAUUAAAUCGUCAAUUCACUCAAAAGCUUAAGUUGGUGGUUGAAGGAAAAUUUAAUCAUAUAUCACAAACACUUGUUGGAGAAGUUGAGAGUCUCACAUUGGAAAAACCAAGGAGACAUAUACUCUAUAUAAGAUAGAUGAGCUACUCCUCUAAUUGCCAAUUGAUUUUGAGAUGGACCCCCAUACUAUUAAAUUUGACAUGAUAUUAGAGCCCAGUAAGCCAAUCGCCUAAACGGGUAUUCAAUCUAAGAUAGGUGAACCCAAAGAGGCACCAUCUUAAAAGGGUAUGUUGGAGAAAUUGAGAGUCUCACAUUGGAAAAACCAAGGGGACUCAUACUCCAUAUAAGAUAGAUGGGCUACUCCUCUAUUGCUAAUUGAUUUUGAGAUGGAACUCCAUACUAUCAAGUUUAACACUAACCAUCCGAAAGUUGUUUAGAUGUAGUUUUGUGGGAGGGGAAGAGAUUUCCUCUACCCCCGCUCUUGGUCUAAUUUUACCCCUUUCUUGUUUAAAGAGAUUUCAAGAAUUAAAAAUAUCCAUCUUUUCUUUUACCUGAGGCUGCAACUAAGUUCUAAAUGAUUAAGGAAUAAUCACUACUUUCAAUUACCCUUUUCAUAUAUUCGGCCAUCCAGAAUUUUGAACUAUUACUAUGAAUGUGUCUGCAUGUUGGCAGGAAUCUAUCUAGACAGUGGACCUAAUGAAUCUCACGGUGGAAAGAGGAAGUCUGCAGGUGCAAUGAUGAGGAAGAGGAACAAUGAAUAGAAAGGAUGAUAGCAUGCAGCAACAAUUGAAAGAGAAAGGAGAAAUAGAUGGAUGACAUAAAAGGACAAGGAAAAAAUGGGAACAUGAUCUAAGUUUGAUGUUUUAAAGUACAUCAAACAUUUAUGUAUUUUCUUGAGGUUGUAAAGUUAUAAUAUGUUUGGCUCGUGUGAAUAAACAUGUGCCUUUACAAAUUUGUUGGCUCCUAGGCAUUCUGGUCUUGUGCCUACUGAGAAUGUAAGGCAAAGGAAAUUGACUUAUGAAUGAAGCAAAGGUAUAAAGAGAAGCAUAAACAAGAUUGUUGCAUUACCAGGAACACCUUCACAGUUGUAGCAUUUAAAACAGCCAGUCAUGAGAUGAUCAAACGAACUAUCUGUCCCAAAAAGCGGAAUGUCUUGGUUGCUUCUCUCAAGCAUUUAUUUCUGUCAUCCCGAGACCAGUGCUGCAUUAGCACCCACAUAGCAACAUAGGAUUACAAAAUGGUAAAGCAAGAUCUAAAAAAAACAGUAUUAACUAAAACCAAUUUACUAAAUAUUCCACGAAAUCAACCUCUCCAAGCAUGUUAAGCUUCUCACGAACAUUUUUCAGCAAUUCUUCUGCAUCCCCAGCCCAUGUAUAAAAUUCAAGCUCUCUUCCUUCAAGAAGUCUCUCAGAAACCUUUGGGAAAAGAUUAUAAUCAUGAUAAAUUUUUAUCAGCUAACAAGCAAUAUAAAUACAUGUAAGUUCUUAAGUAACAAUAAUUUUUAGGAUAAACAAUCAAUUCUUGUCGGGCGUUUUUUGCAUGAAGGAGGCGACAAGUCAUCAAACACUACUUAUUUAUAUAAGCAAUGCCCAAAGGUUGGUUUAUAACUCGUGACUCAAAUAUAAAAUCACAGGCAGAGGCAGCUUCUUUCCAUGAAGAAAGGCUACUAGCCUACUAAUCAUCUUCGUAUAAUAAGUUCUAGUAGAAGAGCUUAUAGAAUAAAGGUUUCUUUUUUAACUCAGAUCCCAGUAGCAUCAGAUUGUGAAUGCAAAAACGUCAGAAGGCUUCACACAUACCCGUUUAGCUAUCACUUGCCCACCUGCUAUAUGUGAAAAGUAUAUAUUGUAGUAAUGGCAAAGGAAUAAAGGGGCACUCCUCUCAGCAAGUUCCUCCAGAUACUUGGCAUAAGAAACUCCUGGAAUGGUAGGCUCAGGUAUCACAAUACCCUGUUCGCGAAACCAUUCUAGAUCCUUUGCAAGACCUUCUGAACGUUCCAUCCCUGAUUUUCUGAAGUAACUAUCUGCAAUCAAAAUACAUGAUUUCAGCCUUUUGAAAAUAAAAAUGAACUGAAACCAAUCGUCAGUCAACAGUAAACAUGCUUUUCCAUUUCUUAAUAAAUCAAAAACUUUAUACCAAGUUGGUUAGUUUUUAAAAAUACUAGCCAAGAGUGCACAUCAUCAAAUUACUUUUUUUUUUAUAUAGAACCAUUCAAACAACCCUGAGAAUCACAUUCAAAAUCAAAGCCUUUCCCGAACCUCUUUAAACCAUUCCCAAAACACUUUGUUAGAAGAAAGAGGUUGAAGGAGGUCUCUCAAAAAGAGAUUUACAAUGGCAAAGUUGAUUUCAGAUCAAAAUCCUGAUCUUUUAGAAUCAAAUUGUGCCCAUCUUCAAGCCCAUUCUUUUCCAAACAGGUCAGUUCUUCAAAGCACGAUCCAUCCACAUUUUAAAUACUCUAUUUUUUCUAUACCUAAUUCAAAGGUAAAAUUCUUGAGAGGUUCUCCUAGCCAAACUCCGGUCCCCUCAUAAAAAAAGAAGCUUGUUUCAUAUUUUGACUUUCCAUUUAGUGUGAGCUGUGAGGAAAGUGAUUUGAUAAGAUUAGAUGAGAAGGAAGAUCAACUGUUGAAGGACCCUUUAGAGAUUGAUCUAAAUUCUCUGUUCCAGACUAAGGGAGAUUUAAUUUUUGAGAAACAGGCCACUGGAAGUCCCUCACAAGCUCAUCAAUGUGAUAUUCCAGAUCAUUUGAAGUCCUUUGUUGAGAAAUGUGGGUUAGUUUUGGCUUGAGCACUGAAAGUAGAUAUGAUUUUUGGUUCCUCAGACAUUUAAUCUCAAAAAUUGAAUGGGAAUCCGGUGAUUCCCAGGCCAUAUGGGAAGGAUUGUUGAAGCAAGAUAAUGGUUUUUCGUAAAGUGAGAGAUUUCAUGUUUGGCCUUUUCCUUUGUAUUUCUUUCUUCCUUUCAGAAUUCUGUUCGAAGAAUUGGAGCUUGAAUGGGCUUUUUCAAUAGUGCACGUGCAGCUUUUUUUAGUGAGGUGGAAGAUUUCAGCAAGUCUUCCAGGGCACACGAAGUAUUUUUCAAUCAAGCUUGAAGCAGCUCGACUUGUUACCUUUUCUGGGUGUUUUCAUUUCCAUUCAUUUUUUAAGCCAUUUGUAAUUAAGUUUUUAGCUGAUUUGGGGCUCCUUGUUGAAAGUUGUCAAAGAGCCAUAGAGAUAUCUAGGGAGCAUUAGAGAGGAUAUCCUGCUGCCAGUAACAGGAGAUAUUAGAAAGAUUCAAAGAGGAAUAACAAGCAACCAGAGGCAAGGGAGUUGUCACUAUCUUGAAAAUCCUUACACAAGAACUUAAUUGAGAACCCUAAAAUUUUAAAAUAUGAGUGCGUACAUCUUCAAGCACAAAAGCAUGCAUAGGAAAGACACUGAUCUUUAAAAUAAGUAAAAAGACAUGCAUCGAGGUUCACUUUUGCCAUAAGUAGGAAGGAUAAAAAUAGUACCAACAGUCAAAUCUCUACGGUCGCAGAAACCAGUAUUAGUCCCCAACAUUAUCAUGCAUCCUCUCGUCUAAGCAUAAACGAAAUAUAAGCAAUCUGGAAGAGAAAAUGGUGAGAGGAAACUUACAAGCAACGUCGCUGGAUUCAUCAACGAUUCGCUCCACGGUGCUGAAGACGAGCUUACUAUCAACCAAAUAUUUAAGGAAUCCUUCCAAACUCGGGUCCCAAGUCUGUGUUCCAUCCCCGUUCUCAUCAUUGUCAUCGUCACUCAACGCCAAAUCUCCAUCACCUUUCUCCCCUACUUCAUCUUCGCUGGAUGAAUCCACAGCAUCACCAGACAACUUUUUACCGUUAACAUUAAGAAGUCUCAUGGCGACAAACCUCAACUCCUCAGUAAUGCCUUUGCUCUCGCCAGGAUACUCUCUCCUGUACCUCUUCCUCCUCUUCAGAACUGGAGGAGCAGGGCCGCCCGUGGCUGCCGCAGUUGUGGAAGUCAAAGGAGCAGAAUGAUUUGAAUCCGAGCAGCAUAACCUCAGAGCACCUCCAUUUCUGAAUGACAUCUUCCGAGUCAUCACAAUUUUACAAUUCAUCAAAGGUCUUGAAGGACAUAAGAAGGUGGAGGAAGAAACAGAGGCAUGCGUUGAAGAAAUUAGUUGAAAAUAAUGCAGCGAUACACUCUCCGGCAGCGUCAUCGGCGCGGGAACGGGGAGGGUGAGGAUUUUUGGUCAGCAAUGUCUAACUUCGCCGGAGUCCCUGGAAGAUUGGAAUCUGACGUGAAGGCCGGGCUUCAGUGAAGCAUCAAACUGGGUUGGGCUUCCCGUGAGAAAAGGUCUACUAGCCUUACCCAUCCUCAUCCACGCUCUUUUUAGCGGGUAGUAGAUAUUGCCCUUCCACAUUUUUGUAUUUCGAGCGGGUAAUCAAUUUCUAAUUUGGAGUUGAUACUAUAUUUACCAUGUAAAUUGAUGUAUAUGUUUUUUAACUCUUAUACUCGUAUUAUAACACAUUUUGUCUGACAUUCUAUCAGAUAAUAUAUUGUAAUCAAGUUAAACUAUGUUCGAUUUAGUUCUAAUAUAAUAUUUCAAUCUACAAAUUUCACAUAAUUUAACAAAAAAAGAAGUACUAAUUUACUCUAUAAAAAAGUCAUGAAUGUAGAUAGAACGAAAGAUUAAUAGUUUUUUAAUCCAUAAUUUAUUUUCUUAAAAGAGAACCUUCAAUUCUACUUUAUUAUGGCUUCAUGUUCAUUUUCCUCUCAUAUUUUUAUUAUUCUUUAGUUUCAAAAUAAACCAAAAUAAUAUAGAAAUCAAAAUGAACUAAAAUCGAAAAUGAAACCUGUAAAAUUAUACAAAUUUAAUUUAUUGAAUAUUUGAUACAUUUCAUCUCCUACGUUCAAAUGGUAGUAACUGUAAUUGGAUAGUGAAAGAAAAUUUACAUCAAAUGUUGGUAUGUAUGUACAAUACAAUCUCCCUUUCUGCCCCUAACCUUGUAUCAACACAAUGUUACAGGAAAAAGGGGAAAAUACAUUUUAAUGAAUGAUGAAACUUUAAGGCUGAUGGAUGUAUCUUCUAUGCUAUGUUAGCAUUCAGAUUGUCGAUGAUGUCACUUGCAUUUUGGUAGAGGAAGAAUGUUAUAUCCAUCCAUAUUUCAAUCCUUGUGUCUAAUGUAUCAGAACGUUGUGUAAGCCAUCCUCUAACGACUAUAUACAAAAAAAAAAAAAAAUUGUACUUUCCUAACCAUAGCGAGAUUUCAAUUUCUGCAAAAAUUCCAAUGUCUCAGUGUAUGAAGGGUCAGUGCGGCUGAGGGGCUUACACGAAUUUAUGUGAUCCGUUGAUUCUAAUACCUGUAUAGUGAUGAAAGAGAAGAAAGAUUUGUAAGACACAAGUGGUUUAGCAACUGGAUUGGUUAACAAGAUAAGAACAUAUAAGAUCGGUUAAUAAGAUGCAAGUCCCAAAAGAAAAAUAAAAACCUCGAGUUGGUAAAAAAAUUUGGUUCUUAGUUUUUUAUUUGUGAAAAUUAAGAAAUGAGAGGAAGUAAGCUUACAGUUUCAAAAAACCAAAAAUCCUCGAAUCAAAUGGAAAAAAUCAGUUGACAAUUUUCAUGGUAUACUAGGCCAAACUCCAAAAAUAAUAGCUGAUGAUAAUUGAAACUUAUGUCCAGAAUUCUGUGAUUACAAACUAAUCGUUAAUCAUACUUACAACUAGUUCGCCGAAUCCAGGAUAUGCAGAUUCAAUGGGAACAAUUUCCAUUCGGAAAGCCCAUCCUCCAUAACCUUCAACAAUUGGAGUCACCUUCGUCUGCACAUAAUCAUAAGCUGCCAUCAUUAUUCUGAAGUAUAAACACGAAAGAACAUUGUAUUUCAACUCAAGUAGACUACCUCACAGAAACUAAGGACCUCAAGCAAUCCUUUCUUAUGGAGGUGACGAAGAAAAUCAUUCAACUCCACCAAUCUAGGAGACCCACUUCUCAGCUCUCCUAUCUGAAUAACAAGAAAUAUAAUUUGAUUAUAGUAUAUAUAUUGAUGAGAAAGAUUUGAAGUAGUUUUCGAAGAAAAAACAAGAAAUCAAACGAUUAGUUGCUUCGCAAACAGAGUCACUUUGUUAAUGGAGUCAAAUACUAACAGUAGGAGCAGGGCGGAACACAAGACCCAUUCGCCAAGGCAUGUCUGCUAGUUUGCUGCCAAAAUGUGGGCAGCUAUAGAAGACCUGAAGUCAGUGGUCAACCAGAUAUGACUGAUAAGAAGAUUGAAGGCACUAAGAUAGAAAACAAAGCAAGUAAAACAAAUAUUUGAAUGUAACAUACAACUCCCACAGUAUUCUUCACAAGGUUAUCGAUAUUUUCUGUCUUGGCUUUAUACAACAUUUGCUUGACAACCAGCCCUCCCAUGCUGCAAACAAGAAUGUUGCAUUUGGUUAGAGGGUUUCCUUCACAUGAAGAACAAAAAAAAAAAAGAAUAAUAGUGAAUAAAUAGACACGGAAUAGAUAAAUCAAACUAAAAGAUACGACUACUUGCUGGCGCCUAUAACUUGAGUGCAUUACAAAAACUAGUAACGAGCAACCUUAUACACUUUUUCAAGCAAAAAAGAAAAGAACCCAAACGAACUCUGCAAUAAGAAGGCUAGAAAAUCAAUUAAAUGGCUGAGGUACCAGGCUUUCAAAGAUUUGGCAAUUGACGGUGAAUACAAUAAAGCAUCUUCAACCUUCGACGAACAAAAACAGCAAAAAGAAUAUCUUUAAUGUGAAGAACAAAAAAUAUCUCCGGAUCAAGAAGGCAGCAUUUAAGCAGUGAAAGAGAUCCAACUCAAAAAACAGGAGGAAGGAUGACAAAAUAAACUCCUACCAUGCUAAGAUCUGACAAAAAUGUAUAAAUCUAAGCGGAAAACAAUAUUUGUCAAGGUGAAAGAUUUCACAUCAGAACAAACAGAAAACCAAGCUAGACUUGGGUGCCGUUUUUGUACAAACCUGUGAGUAACAAAUACAACAGGCCGAUCCCCAAUUCCAGCAGCGACGAGCUUAUCCAGUAGCAUGGAGCUGACUUCCUUCAAGUUUUAAAAAUUAAAAGUUGAUGAUCAAGCAUUCAACAAAGGCAACAAUAACAAAUACUCUCAAUCCAUUAGACUGCUAAAGCUCGGUAAAGAGAAGAGAAGAAUAAUUUAAUCAACCUAUCAGCUAAAAUCCCUAAUGAGCAACAUUACAAGUUUAUGAUUUGGUUUUUUAUGAACUUCAAGGAAUUGCUAAAUUACAAGUUAAAUGAACCUGAAGAGGAAGGCUAGCCCCAGACCACUGAGUGAGAUUUGUCUGCACAAGAUUUAUAAAACCAAAUCUUUUAGACGCACAGAUCAUUUUCAACUUUGCAACUGAAGUUUAUGGUUUUUCAAUAAAUGAACUAUUUAUUUUUUAAAAUACCUUGUAUUUAAGGGUAAACAUACGAGCCCUUGGGAAGUCAGAUGAAAGCCAUUCACCUGGCCAAAACGUCCCAAGUUUCCCUGCCUCCUGGUCAAUCUUCUCUACCAGUCCAGAUUUUGUGGAGGAUUUGUCCUCAGAUAUGCGCCAUGACUUGUAAGGUCCACCUCGGAGGCCAUGAAUAAAAACAACAUCUACCAAAGGAGAAUCUGGCCUAGAAUCAUUCUGAGACACAUGAGAUAAAGAGGUGUUAUCAUUUCCAUGCCUUGCCACAGCUGCACCAUCACUAUCAAUGAAAUUAGCCUGUGAAAGAGAAGAUUCAUCCUUUCCAACAGUGUCCUGCUCCUUUUCUUCAUGAACCUUCCAGUGAGGCAGUUCAGGAUUUAUUAAAAAAACCAUAUCAUCAUAACGGGGACAAUUCUUUUUCCUGUUUGUAGACUCAGCAGACUCGGAAUCAGAGAGAGACCCAUUUUCAGAAGCUCUACGGUUAAUACAAAAUAUAUUCAACAGUGUGGCUCUAGCAUAACUUUGCAGUUUAGCAUCAUGGCAACCAGGAAUGGCCCCAUUGGCACAGUCCUCAAGCCAUCUACAAAAUUCUUCAUCCGAGAAAAUCUCCUUCUGGACUUUCUCUAGAAGUGAAAGGAUGGUUAAAAGCCGCGCAGCAUGUCUACGGAUGUGAGCUGUAGGGGGUACUCGGACACUAGACGAAUCAUUCUUCUUCUCUGAAAGUGAUGGUUCCCCAGAGGCAUUUGAUACAAGUUCUUGAGCCUCAAGGACUCUAGAUGCAUCAUAAGCUUCCAUGGCUGCCAGCUUCUCAUAAUCAUCACAUAACAAAAGGCGUCUCAGCAAAAAGAGAAUGCCAAAAUCAGCUAUUCUGCUCUGACAUGAAGAAUCGUCUGCACAAACUUCGGUCAGUGCUUUAAUCCCCUUUAACGUUGCCAUUGCAGAAUCUGCUGCAUCAAACUUUGGACUAUUCUCUUUUUUUAUACUCUUUAACGGAGCUACAAAAGGUUCACGUGAAAGUAAAUCUGCCAACGGAGAGGUAUCUAAUGAAUCAGUAGUUGCCCCAAACUGGUGUACCGCCAGGUUCACAACAGCACUCGCUAGCUGACUAGCAACUUGACUGGCAAAAACAAUGUUUGACUGCUCAAUCUUCGUCUGCAAAAUUCCAUCAAGAGAACUUCAGUAAAAUAAGAUUGACAAAAUAUCCUCGUUUGUAAAUGCACUACAGUAUGACAUAAAUACAUGUGUGUGCUCUAAGCAGCAUGUAAAAAUCAUUUUGAUGUUAGUGAAUAACACAAUGAGCAAUUGAGUGUAGAAAAUAAAGAUGUUUGCAAACCUUCACUUUGUCAUUUUGAAGCUGAGUAGCUCCAUUCGCUGCAGGCUUUUUGAUAGAACCUAGUAUUUCAGUCAGCAAUAUGGCCAACCAUCCUUGAGAAAUAGGUAUGGAGCUUGGUCCGUAGUCUUCAAGGAUGCAAGACAAAAUUUUAGUUGCAGAAGACCUCAAGGAUUCAGAGGAAAUUUUGCCAAAGACCCAUUGAAGUAAUAUAGCAGACCAUCUCUGACUCUCUUCAGCUGAUAGAUGCAUGCAUCCAGUGCUCAGUAACUCUAAUGCUUUUGCUAACGAUUCUUGAACCUCUCCAUGUUUUUGGGUCCGCACAGCAGCAUCUCUCAUUAGAUGCAAACCCCUCUCCAUUAUCUUCUUUUGUGCCUCAGGGAAACGUUCAACAGAAGCCAAAAAUGCACACAGAGCAGCCUGAGCCAAAGGGAUGUCAUCAUUUUUACUUGCAUGAGAAACAGUAGAAAGAAGACUUGAGCUCCAAUCAGAAACAGAAUCAUUUAACGGGAGAUUACGGUCCUCUAGUAAAAGCCUAGCCACCAAACUUCCAUGCCAUUUCACCGACCUUUCAGGUGCCAUUAAAGCAGUCAUAACAGCAUGUCCAUCUUGAUCUAGUUCAUGGAUGUGCAAUCUGUUCAGUUCUGACGCCAUUGACCAAUUUGCCAACGCCCACGCUGCAAAAGGUACAGCAACAUGCUCACAAUGCAAAUCAUCCCACAAACCAGGAACAACAGAAGAAUUAGCAAUGAGAGAGCUAUCAUGCUUCUCUGAUACUGAAGUUUUAGAUGUAUUUUUUACCAGUUCUACAUGACCACCAUCGGAAUAUGCCAACUUCACAAACCCACUUACUCUCGACAGACCCAAAAUAGUAGUGCCUCCAAGAAUCUUAAUUCCUAUUCCUUUGAUUCCUCUUCCACCAUCUUCAUCAUCACCGCCAUUUGGUUCAUCAAAUUCCAAACCACCCUCUUCAAUAACUUGAAUAGCUGCUGCAAUAUCUCUAGUUUCGGCAUGUGCAGGCAAAGAUGGCUCAAAAGCUAGAUUCUCUAACCUAUCACAAUUGGAUGUUACAAUAUCCAUGAUGGCAGCCACAAGCAUGCUCCUACCUUUCAAAGAAUCAGAAAUAUCGAAUGAACUACGUCUUGGAUGCUGUCCCACAAAAAGGCGACAAAUAUCAAUGGAAAACAAGACUUAAGGGGGGAAUAUCAACAAAAACCUGAGAACAGUAUUUUAUAUUUUGUUUCGAGAGCAAAAUACCAAAGAGCCGACUGCUUCAGUGGCAUCAAGUGACAACAUCAUAUUACGUUAUCAUGUUUUCUGAAGCCGCGUGUACUAUUACCUUAUCUACCAAUUUCACUCAACGUCCGUUUUCAAGCCAUUUCAUGGGAAGGCAAUUGUUACUCUACCCAAAAACCUUAAUUUCCUUUAAUCAAGAAAAUUGCUUUCCAAAUUUUAGACGUGCUAGGCAGGUUUUGGUAUGCGUGAUAAAAAGGCAAAUAAGGCAUUGAAAAGAAAAGAAACUCGCCGUAUUUGUAUCAUGUACUUGUCUAAGACUUGUGUUAUUUGUCUCAAGUACUAAAAUUCUAAUGUAUGUCUAAUUUCUUUUUCUUUUUUGCACAAGAAACAUGUUAAAACUUUAUUAAUCCCAAAUGUAUAUCAUAAAUUUUACCUGUUUCGUUCGCCGAGGCUGACAUGAGAAGAUGAACCUCAAAAGAUUUGGAACAGCACGAGGCCUACCAAGGACGGAAGCAGACACAUCAGGAUCAGCAAUCAAGUAGGCCAGCGCUCUGGCCGACUCAGCCUGGCUUCCACCUCCAUCCCGAGGAACCGCCACCGACUCGAGCAACCAGUCCACCACAGCACCGCCUCCAGCCCCAACAAUCGCCGCCCUACGGCUGGCAUUGGCUGCAGCAAUGUCGGCCAGCAAUGCCGCGACCCUGAGUUCAAACCCGGACCGAACCUCAUGAUUGGCAGACGACAUAACCGACCUUAACGACUGCCAGAGAACCGAAGCGGCAACGCCAGUUUGUUUAAUGUGAUGAAAAAUCUUCUUAAAUGAAUCGGUAGAUCUCUGAGCCGCCCCUUCAAUCCCAUCAUACAGAUGAUUAUAACUCUCAUGGGAGCGAUCAGACCAACUGUCAGAGGUAAGAAAAACAAUGGAAGCGACUAAAGCAGAAACAACAGCAGCGGAGACAGUUACAAUCGAAGUGCGAGAAAAAGAAGUGGGUGACGCACUAGGCAACAAACUUCUCUGUGGACGGUGCAAAAUAGGAGCCGGGGGUGAUACUAGAUGCGAAUUCUGAAGAUUAUUCGAGCCCUCGAUUGAUUUUUGCGCAGUAGAAGACGAAGACGACGAUGAGCAACGACGAAGAUGAAUCAAACGAUAAGAACACCGACUUCUCGCCCAAGCACGAAGCAUAAUUUCUUUAUCCAAAACUUGAAGAUAACUAUUUCCCAGUUCUUAAUUCGAACAAAUUUUGUCAGCUAAGAGAGGGAAUGGAAUAGAUUAUCUCGCUGAUCUUCUUCGUUGAUCGUUCCUCGGAGGACAACGCAAAUGCGAAAUAUAUGGCGGGACAACAAUGGGCGAGUUAUACGGUAAAGAAAGUCCAUAGGGAAUUUUCUCGUAGAUGCGAACCUCCCAAGCGAUGAAUGAUAACUAGUUGCAUAAAUAGUAAAAAAAAAAAAGGCCUAAAGUAAUAAGAUAUAUAUAUCAAUAAUAAAACAAUAACAUAUAUCUUACUACCUUACUAUAUUAAAAAUGUCUUAAAAAUAAAUCAUUUUGGGAAUGACUCUACUCUUUUGUUAAAUUUUAAAUUUAUAACGUUAUUCUAUACUUUAACAUAAAUAUUAGUUGUGAGUUAAAUUUAGAAGAAAAAGACUUAAAUUUAGAAGAAAAAAAAGAAGUUUAUGAAUUAUAUUAUUGUAUAAUUGAUUUAUUAUUUAUUUUAUUUCAUUAAUGUAAAUAAUAAAAUCAAUAAUUAUCUUUUCAAAUUCUUUUAACUUCAUUAUAUAGAUUAUAAAAGUUUUUAUCUAUUUACUUCUAUAAUUUAUUUUCUGAAGAUUAUGAAUUUAUAUUUAAUGAUUAAAUUAUAAAAAAAAAAAAAAAAACUAGGCUAUUUAUAUUUCAUGUAUUUUAUAUGAAUUGUAUUAUUUUAUAAUUGAUUCAUUGUUUGUUUUUAUUUGUUUAAUAUAAAAAAUAAAAUAAAAAAUGAUUAUCUUUUCAAAUUAUCAAAAUUCUAUAUAUUUUUACCUAUUCAUUUCAUUCCUUUAAUUUAUAAAAAUUGUGAAUGAGUUUUUAAAAUAAGUUUAUGAAUUAUAUUAUUUUAUAAUUGAUUUUAUUAUUUCCUUUUAUUUAUUUAAUAUAAAGAAUAAAAUCAAUAUUAACUUAUAAUUAUCUUUUUAAAUUCUUAAAUUCUAGUUUUUAUUUAUUUGUUUCAAUAAUUUUAUUUUUAAAAAACAUGAACUUAUAUUUAAUAAUGAGAUUUCAAAUAACCAUUAUUUAUAAAUAUUUAAAUUUUUUUAUGGCAAAGGUGUAUGUUUUUUUUAAUAAUAAUUUCUAUUAUGUAAUAUAAUAUAACAUUGGUUGAUCCAAAUUUCAUCAUUCAUGUUUGAGUUUGAUAUUACGUUAUAUAAAUAUAUUUUUGUGUUACAAGAUAUUAAUCUUGAUGAUUUUAGAGAAAUAGUUGAAGUAAUAUAUAUUUUAUAGGACAUUGAUUUACUUUUAAAUAUAAUUUAAAAGAGUCAAAUAAAUAUAUGAUUUUAGAGAAAAAAAUAUAAAAAAUGAUAUAAUGUCGUUCAUUAUAAUGUAGUUUUAUCUUUCUAUGUAGUUGAAAAUAAACUAACUGUUUUUCUUUAUUUUUCUUCGUCCUUUGGGAUAGUUUAAGUUCAAGUUGAAGGUAGAUUUUCUUAUUUCUCAUUUAUUUUACGUUACAUUUUAUUUUAAGAUUUGAAUUGUUAUAUUACAUCAUUUUUCAUAAAAUGUAUUUAUUUAGAACUAUAUUUUAUUGUUCACGAUUAAUGUGAAUACGUGAUCUUAUAUUUUUUUCAAGCUACAUUCAUAUAAAACUGUUACUAUGAAUCCAUAAACGAAUAAAAAAUAGAUGUUUUGAGACCCAUUGUUAUAUAGUUGAAGAGGUAAUUUAUCACUCUCUAUACGUUAAUGUUUACUUAUAAAUUAAAACUUAGGUGUUUUGUUUAAUUUAAUUUAAAAUUAUUUAUAGUGCUAAAAAAGAACGUAGCUCAUUUGUCAUCAAAGUGUAUUAGUAUAUACCCACGAAGUUCGUAGUUUGAAUCUCCAUACUCAAUUAAACUACAAAAAAGUUACUUUUAGUGACAUAUUAUUUUGUUUAAUUAUAAAUAUUUAAAUAUAAAAAGUCAACAAUAUAAUCUUUACACGUGCAAUACAGUCGAUAUUUUCUAUGACUAUGAGUGAUAGUAGUUAUUAAUCUAUCAUGAAUAAUUGUUUUCGGUGGUAAUACCACUGGUAGCUUUAAUUUGAAAAAUGAUUACUUCACACGCAUCUUGAAUUUUUAAUUUUGAAAGCUAUCGUCAAUAACUAGAAUUAGUGAAUAUCAUUGUUAGUUGUUGUCAAUUAUUAUCGUUGAUAACUAUUAUCAAUAAUAACUUGUCACCGCUACAAAUAUUUUUUUUCCCGGUUUUCUUAAUUUUAGAGUAAUCAUUCAUAGCAAUUGAUAGCUAAUAUACAUUGAUAUAUGUUGUCAAUGCUAGCUUUUAAUUUGAGAAAUAUGUUAUUUGAUAUAUUUGGUAUCAAACAUGAUUGAUAAUUUUGAUCAAUUAUAGUCUAUAGAUGAUAGAGUACCUUUGAAUUUGAGAAAUAUGACAUCAAUUGUUAUAGUUAGCUGCUAUCGCUGAUGACUACUAUAAAUGAUAGUUUUUAAUUUGAGAAAUAUGACAUCAGUUGCUAUCACUCAUAUAUUCUAUCAGUGAUAUUGCUAUCAAUUGAUAUUCGUGAUAGCUACUAUGAGUCAUUUUUUGUAUUGCUAUCAACGUAAAAUUAUGUCACUAGCGUUAUCUGUCAAUAAUUACAUUUGAAUGGCGUUGUUGAUAGCAAGUAUAAGAGACAUCAUUAUAAGCAUACAUUUUUUAAGUGAUAUAUCACUGGUAAAUAUAUAAGUUUUUGAUUUAUGAAGUUUAAUUAGGAUAUCAAUUGAUAUUUUUUAUACCUACUAUCGAUGUUAUUAUUAUAUUAAUAUCUAUUGGUGAUACCAUCCUUGAGUAAUAUCCAUAACAUGCUAGUGUGUAUCAACAAUAUCAAUGUAAUGGUUGUUUGUGUUUUAUCAUAAAUGAACAAAGAGAAGACACAAUAUUAGUAUGGUAUCAGUAAUAGAUUCAAAUCACUAUUAACAUGCUAUCCAUAUGGUAGGUUCAGUCACUAAUAGUAUAAAUUAAAACUGAUAUAACAACAACUUUUAUUGAAAUAAAUUAUUGAUUUUAAGUCAUGCUAUCAACAUUUAUAUCACUUAGAUAUUAAAAGUUCAAGCCAUUAGAGAUAAAUUAAUGAAAAAACACAUUGAUACAUUAAGCCUUACGUAAUCGAUAGAAGUCAUCACUAAUAGUAUGAUAUCCAUGAUAUAAGUGUAAAAAACCUGUCAUUUUUGCAUUCUUCACGUGUGCUGUAUAUUAUAUUUAUUUUUCUAAUUUGUACUAUUUUUCAAUUUGCUAUUUAAAAAUUUGUUGUUUUGGCAUGAAUAUAAGUACGUAAUUUCAGUUGACAUAUGACUUAUAAACUUUUCAAUUUCCUCUAAAACUUAAAUACUAUUGAAGUUGUAAUUAAAAACGAAGGACAGAGUUGAAAUUUGUUCAUCUAUAAACUAACUAAAUUUUAUUACAUUUCUCAUAAUGUCAUUUCUUUCUUAAUUAUUGUUCAUGUCUAUUUCUUAACUUCGUUGGGCUCUCUUAGACUAUUUUAUUCAUCGGGCUCUCUUAGACUAUUUUAUACAUAUAUCGAGUAACUCUAUAUAUUUUCGAUAAUUUUACGAUAUCUUUAAAAAAAUAUCUAAUUAAUUUACUUAAAAAUAAUAUUAAGUAAUGACGUGGGUAUAUAUGUUAAACAAAAUAUUAAAACAAUAAAUCUAUGUAAAAGUUUAAGGGGCAAAAUUGUCAUUUUGUUAGGACGGUGUUCCACCUCCCUUAAUCUUCAUUUUUAAGAACCAGACGAGGGAAGCCUUGUUGCCAAAGAAAGUUAAAAGUCUUGCAUGCCCGGCAGCCGGAUCAGAUCGACGCUGAGGGAAAACUUUACGAAUGGAGCGCCUACAGAGAAUGUUCGCCGGUGCCGGAGGUUCACUGGGCCACCCUCCGCCGGACUCGCCCACUCUUGAUUCGUCGGAGCAGGUCUACAUCUCCUCCCUCGCGCUUCUGAAGAUGCUUAAGCACGGUACUGUUCGAAUUGAAGUUGCCACUUUUCUUGUUUUUUUCCACCCAUAUUCAUUCGAGUGUGUUCACAGUCUUUUCCUAAUUUAAUGUUUAGAGGGUUUUUCGACUCUCCCCUUCUAUAUUACCAACGAAUUUGGAUGGUUUUGCUCGGUUUUAGGUUUAGGGUGUUGGAUGUGGUUUAGGUUAUUGGUAAUUGAUUGUGAAGCUUUAAAUGAACUCCCCGUUUAUGUAAUUUCCACUUCAAUGUGCUUAAUAGGAAGAGCUGGGGUUCCCAUGGAGGUGAUGGGUCUGAUGUUGGGGGAAUUUGUUGACGAGUACACCGUGCGCGUGGUCGAUGUAUUUGCUAUGCCGCAAAGUGGUACGGGUGUUAGUGUCGAAGCUGUUGAUCAUGUAUUCCAGACCAAUAUGCUUGACAUGCUUAAACAAACUGGACGGUAAUUUUAUUUACUUAUAUUGCUUGAGAUUUGUAAUGACUACAUUUGCUGGAUCUUAAAGGUUAAGUUGCUGAAAAUGAAACUUUAGAUGCUGAAAGAAACAGCUCCUUUUUUUAAAUUUUAGUUGUAUGUCCCCGCCUGUAGUGACUGGGAGGGCUUGUGCUGUCCAGUGCGUGUUUAAUCUUUGGAAUAGAUCUGAUUUUAGCAUAAGAUUUACAUAGGUUUACUUAAAUUUCAUUGAAAUCUAUUAUCUAUGAAAAUGGAUAUUUUAGAGGAUCCCAGGAUGGUCGAACUCUAGCCAAGAAUUUUUUUUUGACAAUCUCUGUUGAACAAUAUGCGCUUCGGAGGUAUUUUAGUUAGCUGGGCUGCAAUUUUCUUUUCUAUUUGUACCGCUGGACCUUUGUUUGUCCAGAAUCAUUUCUCAUUCUGAUUUCAACUCUUUACUUCUCUUAGGAAAUUAUUCCCUGAAUGUGGACUCAACUCAUUUUAGUUUUAACAUCAUUCCCGUUUUCAUGGAGCACCACUCACUAUACUAUCUUCUUUUAUAACCAUUUAUUUGGUUGUGCACCUUGUUUCAUUUGAAAGACUCUCCAUUUUUGGGCGUCUCUGACUCUCUACAUUAUAUUUUCUUUAGCUUUGGUUUGGUUUGGGUAUGUCAGUUGACAUUUUCAACAAAUGAAGGUAUGGUGAGAAUGAAAUAAAGUAAUGAGUUCAUGGAUGUCAGUCCUCACUACACAUGACCUCUAUUGUUUUCAUCCCAGGACCCCCCCCCCCCCCCAACCCCGACCCCAAACCAUGAUUGCUUGUUUGAACAAACACUUUCGCGUUGUCCCUAGCAUUUGUAGAUUCUGAUAGUACUCCUAUUAGGCUACACGAGGAGGCGUCCGAGGAAAAAUUGGUGGUGAAUUGAACAUCUUCUGUAAUUAGUUUAUUAAGUGAUCCCAUGAGAUUAUGUAGCUACCAUGGACAAACGGAAGGGGGAAGGGUAGGAGUAGGCCUUGUGAUUUGAGAGUGUUUUGGAGGAUAGGGGAAGCCCCUGUUUUCUUCCCCUGUUCAUGUAUCUAUAUUGAUAGAUAGAUCCAGCAUUAUCAGAGUCCAGCCUUUUACACUUCAAUUGUACCGAAGAGUUAAGAUUGAACUCAUUAUUGACUUAUAAUCUUCUGCUGCCUUUUACCUUGAAUGCUAACCAUGUAUUUUUUUUGUUCAGUCCUGAGAUGGUUGUAGGAUGGUACCACUCUCAUCCUGGAUUUGGUUGUUGGCUGUCUGGUGUCGACAUCAACACUCAACAGGUUUGUAGUUUUUAAACAGCCUCCAUUUUACAUAUUGUUAUGCACCUCAUUGUUGAAUCUUUCUCGGGGUGAUUGCCAUUUCUUUUUCUUGUAUAAUAUUCUUCUCUCUGGAAUUUUAUAAUUUUGUAAUAAUUUUUUUUACUGAACAUUUUAUUUUAUUGGGUCAAGGAGGUCUUCCAGCUAGGAAAAAAUGUAAUGAAGAUUUGCAAUUGAGAUUCUAAUGUGAUAUGCGCUUACUUGUCUUCAUUUGUAGAGUUUUGAAGCUCUUAAUCAGCGAGCUGUUGCUGUAGUUGUGGAUCCAAUCCAGAGUGUCAAGGGAAAGGUGGUUAUCGAUGCCUUUCGUCUAAUUAAUCCCCAGACAAUGAUGCUUGGUCAAGAACCACGUCAAACAACAUCAAACCUCGGCCAUCUUAAUAAGCCAUCUAUUCAAGUGAGUGUUGAACAAAUACUUUUAAAUAAUUCUUGCUUUCAUGCCACUGACUCAUACGAUUGAUUUCAGGCAUUAAUCCAUGGAUUGAAUCGCCAUUAUUACUCUAUUGCAAUUAACUAUAGGAAAAAUGAACUUGAGGAGAAGAUGUUGCUUAAUCUUCACAAGAAGAAAUGGACUGAUGGCCUAACACUUCAACGAUUUGAUACACACUCGAAAACUAAUGAGCAGACUGUCCAGGUAAGCAUGUCUUUUAUGUUUUAACCUUCUAGAGGUUGCAUCUCUUCUUGCAAUAUCGAAUAAAAUGAAUAAAAUGAGUUUCUUGCGUUGCCAAACAAUUCAAUUGCUCUCUAAUUGUACUUAUCUAAUAAAGAAAGUGCUGUGAUCAAUUAACUUGACGAUUCACUUUUCACAGCUAACCUCGAUAAAAUUGUAUUUCAUUGUGCAUAAUCUUUGUUGUGAUUAAGGAUUUGUUAUAUACCGUGCAGGAAAUGCUGAACUUGGCUAUCAAGUACAACAAGGCAGUACAAGAGGAAGAUGAGUUGCCACCAGAAAAACUUGCAAUUGCAAACGUGGGAAGGCAAGAUGCUAAGAAGCACCUGGAAGAACAUGUCUCCAAUUUGAUGUCAUCGAACAUCAUACAGACAUUAGGAACAAUGCUCGAUACAGUUGUGUUCUAAUCGAACUAUGGUCGUUAAAGAACUCUACAUCCCCUGCCAGGAACAUUCAGAAGAUUCUUCAUUCAAAGUUGCAGGGUGUCUGACUGUUAAAAACAAGUUAAAUAGUGCUUAAAAACUCUUCCAUUGCUAAGAAUUCCUGCCUGUGUUUCACUUUCAUUACAUUAAUGUUUUAUUGGAUCUUAGAAUGAGAGGUGGUUUCGUUUUUACAGGACAACUAUUGGUUUCAAUGCUUGGGAUGUGAAUGAAAAAGAUAGUGUUCAUAAUUUGGACCAUUGUGUAAAUGUAUGAAAUUUCCUCAAAACAUAAUAAUCAAAAUAUUUUUCAAUCCGAAAAAUAUUCAUAGAAAAUAAAUAUAAUAAUCAAAAUAAUAAAAAAACAUUUUCAAAUAUCUAUAAAAAUAUUCAUACAACACAAAUAUGAUAAUCUAUCUGUCAUUUUAAUCAAUCCUUUAAUUUGAUGAUAAAUUUAAUAGAGAACGUUACAUUGGUAUUUGCAAACUUAUUAACUAACUUCGUCUUAUGGUAACUUUAUUUUUCUCUUAGUAUAUAUUUUUACGAAUAUUAAAUAAGUCAUUUUUUUACAUCAUUCUUCACAUUCAUAGAAUAACUUUAUUGUAGUAUUUAUCUGCAUUCAUACAAACUUAUAGAAGUUUAAUGUUUAUUAUUUAUAUAAUAUAAAAUUUUGUUAUAUUUUUAUUUAAAUCCGUUUUGUAAUUUAUAGUGAUUUUUUUUUAAAAAAGGAAAACAAUAAAUUUAUGUAAAAGUACAAGGGGCAUAAUUGCCAUUUUGAUAAGACGUUUUCCCAUCUCCCGCAAUCACCAUUUUUAAGAACCAGACGAGGGAAGUCUUGUUGCCAAAGAAACUAGAAGUCUUACAUUCCCGGCCGCCGGAAAGAUCGACGCUGAGGGAAAGCUUUACGAAUGGAGCGGCUACAGAGAAUGUUCGCCGGUGCCGGAGGUUCAUUGGGGCACCCACCGCCGGACUCGCCCACUCUUGAUUCGUCGGAGCAGGUCUACAUCUCAUCCCUCGCGCUUCUGAAGAUGCUUAAGCACGGUACUAUUCGAAUUGAAGUUGCCGCUUUUCUUGUUUCUUAGAUUCCUAUUCUUUCGAAUGUGUUCACAAUCUCUACUAAUUUAAUGUUGAGAGGUCUUGUCGACUCUCCCCUUCUAUAUUAUCAACGAAUUUGGAUGGUUUUGCUCGGUUUUAGGUUUAGGAUGUUGGAUGUGGUUUAGGUCAUUGGUAAUUAAGAUUGUGAAGCUUCAAAUAAACUUCCCGUUUAUCUUAUUUCCACUUCAAUGUGCGUUAUAAUAGGAAGAGCUGGGGUUCCUAUGGAGGUGAUGGGUCUGAUGUUGGGGGAAUUUGUUGACGAGUACACCGUGCGCGUGGUCGAUGUAUUUGCUAUGCCGCAAAGUGGUACGGGUGUUAGUGUCGAAGCUGUUGAUCAUGUAUUCCAGACCAAUAUGCUUGACAUGCUUAAACAAACUGGACGGUAAUUUUAUUUACUUACCGUAAUGACUACAUUUGUUGGAUCUUAAAGAUUCAGUUGCUGAAAAUGAAACUUUAGAUCCUGAAAGAAACAGCUCCCCUUUUUAAAUUUUAGUUGUAUGUCCUCGCCUGUGGUGACUGGGAGGUAUUGUACUGUCCAUUGCGUGUUUAAUCUUUGGAAUAGACCUGAUUUUAGUAUAAAACUUACAUAGGUUUACUUAAAUUUUAUUGAAAUCUAUGAUCUAUGAAAAUGGAUAUGUACAGGAUCCCAGGAUGGUUGAACUCUAGCCAAGAAAAUCUUUUGACAAUUUCUCUGUUGCACAAUAUGCACUUUGGAGUGAUUUUAGUUGGCUGGCCACCAAUUUUUUUUCCUGUUUUUUCCUCUGGGCCUUUGUUUGUCCAGAAUCAGAAUCAGAAUCAUUUCUCAUGCUGAUUCCAACUCUUCUCUUAGGAAAUUAUUCCCUGAAUGUGGGCUCAAUUCGUUUUAAUUUUAAUAUCAUUCACAUUUUCAUGGAGCACCACUCACUAUACUAUCUUCUUUUAUAACCAUUUAUUUGGUUGUGCACCUUGUUUCAUUUGAAAGACUCCCCAUUUUUAGACGCUUCUCCAUCAUUUUUACUUUUGGUAUGUCAAUUGACAUUUUCAUCAAAUGAAGGUAUAGUUAGAAUUAAAUAAAGUAAUGAGUUCAAUCAAGGAUAUCUAUUGUUUUUGCUUUGUUUUUGGCUUGCUGCCUUGCUUUAUCAUUUUUUUGGCCUUGUACUGUGGCAUUUACUUUGUUAUUGUUCUGUUGUAUUGAUUUUAUUUAACCUACUAUGUGGGUUUUUAUUUUCGCUUAUGGAUGUGAUGAGGGCGCUAAAGGGGGGUGUCAACCUAGUUGAGAUGCUUGGGUGCGCCCGCUGAUCCUCCCCCUUCCCCUUUGCUCUUUGUAUGUCCCUCAUGUACUUUGAGCUUUGUCUCUCUAUUUCCAUUAUUAAUAAUAUUGAGACUCGUUUCCUUUUUUUUUAAAAAAAUAAAGUAAUGAGUUCAUGUCUAUGAGCUAAUGGAAGGGUAAGAGUAGGCCUUGUGCGGAGCUACAUUUUUGCUCGUCUGUGAUUUGAGAGUGUUUUGGGAGAUAGGGGAAGCUUCUCGGUUCUUCCCUUGUUCAUGUAUCUAUAUUGAUAGAUGAAUCCAGCAUUAUUAGAGUCCAGUCUUUUCUACUUUAAUUAUACUGAAGAAUGAAGAUUGAACUCGUUAUAGACAUAUAAUCUUUUACUGCCCUUUACCUCUAACUUUAACCAUUUAUUUUUUGCCUUCAGCCCUGAGAUGGUUGUGGGAUGGUACCACUCUCAUCCUGGAUUUGGAUGUUGGCUCUCUGGUGUCGACAUCAAUACUCAACAGGUUUGUGGUUCUAAAACAGCCUCGAUUUUUCGUAUUGUUAUCCACCUCAUUGUUAAUCAUUUUAGGGGUGAAUUCCUUUUCUUUUUCUUGUACUAGUAUAUUCUUAUUAUUUUGAAAUAAUUUUUUACUGCACAUUUUCUUUGAUUGGGUGGUCUUCCAGCUAAGGAAAGAGUGUAAUGUAGAUUUGCAAAUGAGAUUAUAAUGUGAAAUGUGCUUACUUUUGUCAUCGUUUGCAGAGUUUUGAAGCUCUUAAUCAGCGAGCUGUUGCUGUAGUUGUGGAUCCAAUCCAAAGUGUCAAGGGAAAGGUGGUUAUCGAUGCCUUUCGUCUAAUUAAUCCUCAGACAAUGAUGCUUGGCCAAGAACCUCGUCAAACAACUUCAAACCUCGGCCAUCUUAAUAAACCAUCUAUUCAAGUGAGUAUUGAACAUUCUUACCUAGAAAGUGAGUGUUAAACAUUCUUACCUAGAAAGUGAGUGUUGAACAAAUACAAUCAAAUCAUUAUUGCUUUCAGUUCCACUGACUCGUAUGAUUGUUUUCAGGCAUUAAUCCAUGGAUUGAAUCGCCAUUAUUACUCUAUUGCAAUUAACUAUAGGAAAAAUGAACUUGAAGAGAAGAUGUUGCUUAAUCUUCACAAGAAGAAAUGGACUGAUGGCCUAACACUUCGACGAUUUGAUACACACUCGAAAACUAAUGAGCAGACUGUCCAGGUAAGCAUGUCUUUUUUGUUUUAACCUUCUAGAGGUUGCAUCUCUUCUUGGAAUAUCGAAUAAAAUGAGUUUCUUGCGUUGCCAAACAAUUCAAUUACUCUCUAAUUGUACUUAUCCAAUCAAGAAAGGGCUGUGAUCAGUUAUCCCGACAAUUUACUUUUACAGCUAACACCGAUAAAAUUGUAUUUCAUUGUGCAUAAUCUGUGUUGUGAUUUAUGGGUCUGUUAUAUACCGUACAGGAAAUGCUGAACUUGGCUAUCAAGUACAACAAGGCAGUACAAGAGGAAGAUGAAUUGCCACCAGAAAAACUUGCAAUUGCAAACGUGGGAAGGCAAGAUGCUAAGAAGCACCUGGAAGAACAUGUCUCCAAUUUGAUGUCAUCGAACAUCAUACAGACAUUAGGAACAAUGCUCGAUACAGUUGUGUUCUAAUCAAACUAUGGUCAUUAAAGAACUCUACAUCCCCUGCCAGAAAACACUCCGAGGAUUCUUCGUCCAGAGUUGCAGGGUCUGUGAUUGUUAAACGCGUUUGUUUUAAACUCUUUGUCCUGCCUGUCUUUCACUUUCAUCACAUUAAUAUUUUAUUGGAUCUUAGAACGAGAGGUGUUUUCGUUUCUACACGACAGCAAUUGGUUUCAAUAUGCUUGGGGAUGUGAAUGAGAAGAUAAUAGUGUUCAUAAUCCAUCAGUUGAGUAUAGUAGCUAAAACAGAACAAAUUUGAAGCUUUAAUCUUGGUUAAGGAAGAAAGCCAAACGUUUGAGAAGGGCUUUGGCUUUCUCGGAAGAUGGGUUUAACAUAUGAAAUGCAUGGUCCUCACCUUCCGUCUCAUAAAACUCCACUUUCCCUUUCCACUCACUGUUCGCAAGAGUUUCAUAGUAAAGCUUCCCUCUUUCCCUCAGGAUGUCUUUCCCUGCAACGAUAACCAGCACCCUCUCACCGGCGAGGCCAUCGAUCGCAGGUGACCCAUCGGAGAAGGGAUUGAUGAGGAGAUCGUCAUUUCCUCUAUCCGAUGGGCAGACAAAGUUCCACCAACUAUCCACCUCUGCUUUUUUGUGAUGCUCAGUGAUCUCCGAUCCAAUGGGCUCCUGUCCCCAGAAGUAUGGUUGAAUUAGGGCGAUUCCUACAAUUUUGAUUUUGGCGCCCAGGUUCGAGUUUUUGGCUCGCAGGGCCAUGUGGUGGCAGAUGUUUCCACCCGCACUGUCACCUACCAAGAACACCUGUUCAAAUAAUAUAAUUUAGCCUUUCUAAUUUAUUGCACCUUAAUUAAUUGAGAUAUGUAAUAUUGGAAAGAAAAAAAAUAUACUCUUUUGUUUCCUGUUUUGAUGAACAGGUGCAUUUAGUUAAUAAGUUUUCAAAUUAUCUGUUUUAAUCUUUCAAUUUUAAAGAAUAGGUUUAAAAGUUCUUUUUCCAAAGAAUAGGUGCAUUUAGUUCUUUUCUCUCUUCUCUUCCUAUUUCUUUCUCCUUUUCUUCAUCCUUUCUCUCUGUCUCUACUCCAUCUCCAUCACAGAUUUUUUUAAAAAAAAUUUCAAAACAAUCUCAUUGAAAUGUUGAUUGGCUUUUGGGUUAAAACACUUCAAUGAGUUAAAUCACAAAGACUUCCACUCCCAGCCCCACCCUCAACUCUUCCCUGCAGAAAACAAAAAUGAGUAGAAAAACUUCUAGUGCAUAUGUUCAAAUAGUUGAAAGAAAAACGAAAUUCAUAAGGUGUCGAAUUCCAAUUAGCUUCAAGUUGAACUGAAUUUGAUUGAUUCUAAAUCAUGUUGUGCGGAAACGAAAAAACAAACACAAGCUACACCACUUCAAAUAUGGGGUUUAAGGUAUAAGCAACUGUGAUUCACUACAAGUGAAAAAAUGAGACGAGUCAAGAUGAAGAAAGAGUAAAGAAAAACCAUGGGCAAACAAAAAUGUUUUCUAAGAAUAUUUUUCAACCAUUAAAUAGUAUAACAUUGAAGAAGUAAACUUAAAAAAACCAGCCAUAAGUUCCAAACAUGUUAUCUAAAAUUGCAUUUCAACCAAAAAGAAAAUAACUUUUGUUAUGAACUUUAUUUUUCUUUACAAUGAUCAAUAAUUACUCGGUUAAACCUUUUAAUAUCACUUCCCUUUUAAUUAAUGACGGCUUCCUUUCUUUAAAAAAAAUGAUAUUAGUAUACACUAAAAUUUAAAAUUUAAAGAUCCGUUAAACAUACUUUUCAGAAAAGAAAAAUAAAAACAGUAAUAAUUGGACACUGUGGAAUGAAAAUUGAACCUCUCAUUCUAAAUUCAGUUUAUCAAUUAUACAAAGUUACUUUUUAGUUGGCUAAAACUAAAAUCACUUUUAAUAAAAUAUUAUUAAUUUCAAAAUACCUUUAUUUUUUCAUUAAACAAUUUAAUAUAUAAAUCUAAUUUUAAUUUUAAGUUGAAGUUUGUUUAAUUUUAGUUUCUAUAUUUUUAAUUGUAUAAUUUUAAUCUAGAUACAUUUAAUAAAUCUUAAAACUAAUUCUUAACGUGCUAGUUUAUUGUUUUUUUUAAGAAAAAUGCUAUUUAUAACUUUUUAAUAUAACUUUUAAAAAUAUACUAAAAGAAAAAAUCAGUGUUAUAAAUAAAGAGUCUAAAAUUGCACAAAGAAUUUGCAAAAAAUAAAAAAAAUGAGAAAUGAACAAAAUAUUUAGAGUUCAUAAAAAAACUGUAUGAUAAAUUUUGUUAAUGUAAAUAGUUUGUUUGUUUGUUUUUUAAAAUUUUUGAAAAAACCCUAAGAAAACAAUAUUUUAACCUAAUAUAUUACUAAGGUUAUAGGAGGGAGUUUGAUUCUAACUAACAAUACCUUCUCAAAAUCAACUAGCUCUUUAAGCCAAGGCUCAUGCCCGGGCUCAUCGGCGGAGGACUUCGACUGAGCGGCAAUCCACUGCAGCGCCGCCCAAGAAUCGUCAUAAGCGGCGGGAAGAGGAUGCUCCGGCGCUAAUCUAUAGUUGACCGAGAGGAGGACGGUUUGGGCCUCGGCGGCAAGCGGGAUAAGACAAUUGUUAUGGUAAACAGGUUCAGCACUGGAGGCUACAAGAAACGCACCGCCGUGAAAGUAAACAACCAAUGGAAGUUUCCGGCCAGGGUCUACGGCGGUGGGACGGUAAAGCCGAGCUGAGACGCCGGUAUCGGGAACGAUAACGAUGUCUUUAGAGUGAACUCCUGUGCGAGAAUCGAGGCCAGGGGGAGUGACACGUGUCCCGAGAAGCCUCUCAACGACGCCGUUUUUGUAGAGUCGAAGGUAAGGAAGAAGCUCGACAUCCAGCUCGGGGUUGUUUAAGUCUGUAGCCAUUUGAGGUUAAAAAAAGAUAAGACUGUGCUGAUAAUUGAAAUAAUUGAUUGGAAAAAGAAGGGAAAAUGAAGAGGUUUGAUUUGAAAUUAUCAUAUAAUUGGUGAAGAGAUAUAUGUCAAACUCUAUCCUUUAUAAUUUCAAAUGUUCACCAUACAUGUAUAGCAAUUAACAACUAACCAUAUGGUUGCUGCAAUGCAGAUGACUACGACUCAUCAAUGCCACUAGAGUUGUGCAAGACUUUAAUUUGAAGUUAUUUAGUUGUGAAAAUGUUAGUAGAGACUUAAUAAAUUAUUGAAUUGAUGUUUUAUAGUUGUGUGCGACCCACAAAGUAUUUGACUCAAACAAUGGGUUUGAUAACAACGCUGCCUUAAAUUUCUAUUCCACUAGCCAUACAACAACGAAUAUUAGGAAUGAUCUCAAGUAACAAUCAUCUUACUACUUUUCAAUCCAAAUAUACUUUUUAACUAGUAAUUAAACUUCGUGUGUAAAUUUUUUAUUGAAAACAAAAUUCGUAAAAGAAUUUAAGUGCAUCUCGAGUUGCAUCUAUCUUUGUACAUCUCACUACUAAUUCAUAACUUGUGAUAUAAUAUAUAUAUUUUUUGUUUAAAAAAAUAAAAUAACAAAAUAAAUUAAAAUAUUUACCUGCUAUAACUAUCAAUGAUAGUCACCGUAAAUUCUUUUUUUUUGUAAAAUUUGAUAUUUUAAAAAUUUUUCUUAAAGAUUAGAGGGUACAAGCAUGAUUUUUAAAUUUACUACUUUUUCAUCGAUUUAGAAAAGGUAGACAUAGGCUAUAUUAGGAAGCGUCCUCAAGGAAAAACAAGUCCUUGCUUGCUUACAAAAAAGAAAAUUGAACAAAUGAAAAACGUAUAUACACACAGUCAAACAUGAUUAUUAAAGAACAAUGAGAGAGAUUCUGAUCCAGGGAAAAAGAAUGAGGAACAAAUAUGGAUGGAAGAAAACAUAUAUUGAAUCAAACCAAUCAAUCUUCUGAAAUUUCUUGGCAAUUAGAAGAUCUGAUCUGAAGUUGCUGAGACGUGAGGGAGAUCAAAGAUUGAAUCUUAGCAACAGCAGAUGAUUUCUCAGGUGGGCAUUUCGAAAGAGAAACAUUCAACGAAUGAAGAGCCUCGUCAAGCUUACCAACGGUUAAUGCUUUACAACCUGCCUUGUAAGCUCCAUCCGCCAUUCGAACAUCAUACUGACUUCUUGAAUUCGCACUAGGUUCCUCAUCCUCUGGCUCAUCGGGAGAUAUUGGAGAUUCUAAAUACGCAGUGGUUCGAGCAUAUUCUAAAUUUGAAAUUGCAGCACCGAUCUCCCCCAUUAGAGCUUCAGGAGUCUUCGUUGUGGUCUUCACACUGUCAAACACAUUCCAAGCGGCGAUUCCUCCUUCUGAGUUCACACUCUCCCUUUCUUGACUCUUAUGCCUAUUUCGUUGAGGCAUUUUCACAAACACCUACUCAAUGUCUUUCUUGAUUCUUGUGCUAAUUUCGUUGAGGCAUUUUCACAAACACCUAGUCGAUGUCUUUCUUGAUUCUUAUGCUAAUUUCGUUGAGGCAUUUUUACAAGCACCUUGCUGUCCUCAAACUGAUAUGGAAUCGAAUCGAUUUUUGGAAGAAGUCUGUCGCGCUGAACUUCAAUUACGAGCCCGAUAUUUCCUUGCGUCUAAUUCGAUCUUCUCAUCCUGCGAAAUUUCAUAUCGAUUUAUGAACUCAACGGAUUCUAUCAACAGCAUUGAAUAACAACGCAAACAGCCAAUCAAGAACAAGCACGAUCAAUGAUACUAAACCGCCAUGUCAACAAAACCGGAGUUGUGAAUGCGGCAUCGGAAAUCGAUACAAUAUCAGAAUUAAUGGCAAAAUAAUUGAAUCCAAAAUCCCUACUGUCAUCCCAAAAAGAAAGAAAUAGGGAAAGAAAAGGAAACUCACCAGUUAAUCGGAGAGCAGCCAGCCGCUUUCAUCGACGUUUUCAACUUUAAUCCGAGUCCGAUCAACUAGUUCUUUGAAGAUGAAUUUUCUGAGCUUUAAUCCAUUACAAGGAUUUUGAACUUUGAACAAAGUGCAGUAAUAAAGAAAAGAGUGCAAAUUAGAUAUUAAACUGAUUAUAGUUGAAAUACAUGUUUGUCCUUUUCUUUGGGGGUGCAAGUUUACUAAAAUAUGUUUUGGCUAUUCUUUUUUCCUGCCUUGUGUACUUUCUAAUGUUUUAAGAGAUUGUUGGACCCCUAUCAAUUGUUGGAUCAUUGAGGGUUUGGAUCGUAUGUCACGACCUUCCUUCUAUGGGAUGUGUGGAACUAUAAAAAUUUGAUUGAUUAUUGCGACUAGUUCUCGAACAAAAUAGCACUGUUUGACAGAGUUUUAUGAGCUCGAUAGGCCAAGACCUCUCUUUGGGAGAGUUUGGUUUCUGUCCGAUUAUGAUAGCUUGAAGCUCAAUUUUGAUGCUUUGUGGAAUGAUUGUGAUUUUUUGAGUUCUCUUCUUAUUGUUUGUUGUGAGAGGAUCUUUUUCGGUUGGUCCAUCCAUAUUUUGGAAGCUCGAUCUUGUUAUGGUUAGAGGUUUGCAUCCCUCAUUGGUUAUCUUGAGGAUUACCCCUAGCUAUCAUGAAGUUUGAUUGUUCUUUCGAGAUCCUAUCAUUAUAUGUAUUCUAUAAUUUAUCGAUGCACUUAAAAUAAAAUUUAGUCAUACUUUUGUAGUAACCACAAAAAAUAGACAAUGAUAUAACACACAUUUGCUCUCACAAUUUUUAUAUUUAAAUAUCUAUCCCGCUAUUAUAGUUUUCUUAGUUGAUAGGUUUAAAAAAUAUUAACGCGUUAUCAAUAUAUAUAUUUUUUAAAAUUUUCAAACAUAUAUCUAAUAUAUUAUGUAUUGUAAACAUCUUCAACUUUUAAAAUUCAAAUGUUAAUUAAAAAAAAACAUUAUUUAUAUUUUUUUUAAAGAAUAACAACAAUUAUCAAAGUUUGUAUAAAUAUUUUGUCUAUUUUAUUAACUAUUUUUGACGCGCAACCAAAUUUAACAAAAAAAAUUCCAAUUUUAUCCUAAAAAUUUGGUUGACUUAAAAUUUUAAAAUAUCUAACUAAUUAAACAUAAAAUUAUAACGCUUCUAAACUUCAAAAACCUAUUAGAAGUUUAAAAGUUAUGUACUCAAUAACUUAUUAAAUAAAAAUUUAGAAUUUUAUCAACUAAAAUUAAUUUAAUAUAUACAACUUAGAUAUACUUUUCCCAAAUUAUAAAUUAUAUUAUUGGGUUAGCAUGGAGCGCUGCCGUAUGGGAUAAGGGCUCGAUCGGUGGCGACUGGCGAGCGCUUUGUCUUUUGAUGGCAAAGAACAAUUCAUAUCAUACGAUAACGACACAUUCCAAUAAAGGGCAAAAAAGGCAAAAAAAAAAAAAGACGCAAUCAGUAAGUAUGGCCGGCCACGAGCGGCACGUGACGUGGAAAACGGAACUCGUAACGGGAAGUCAGUCCCAGCCAAAUAAUUAAUUUUACUCAUUCCUUAAUAAAGUUUGAAAUCAUUAUCAAAAUUAAUUAUUUUCGUCCUCAUCCAUCCACCCUAAUUAAGAUGGUUUGGUUGGUACUCAAAAAUAAAUAAAUAAUAAUAAUGUUUGAUCAUUUUUCUUAAUUUGUCAACAAAUCAGCUUUUUUUUUUUUUGUUAUUUAUUAUUAUUAUAUAGUCAACAAUUAAAGAAAUAUAGCAAUUUUAUAUGUACACGUAACUUUUAGAUUAGGCAUUAAUUAGCUAUUAGCCAACGUUUUUCCAAGUUCGAAGUUUUGAAUUUAGGCAAUAAUACAAGAUUUUGAUUGUAAUUUGCUCAUUAGGUUGGGAAGCUUUUGUUUGGAGAAACUUCACAACGUAAUGGGUAUUGAAUUAUUCUCUUGCUUUUAUUUAAAAAAAAAUUGAUAAUAUAAAAUCACAUUGUGUUAAGGAAUUUAAUUUAAAUAGUAAUUGUUUUUCUUUUUUACAACCAACAAUUAUGUGAAUGGUCACCGAGGAACAUCCAAUCUUACGGUAGAAAAGCAUAUCAAUUAAUGUUAAGUUAAUGCAUAAAAUGGAGUACACAUGACUGACAUGUUAUAUUUAUUACGAUAAUGAAGGUUUAAAUUAUCGUACUUUACCCAACAAAAAUGUAAAAAAUAAAAAAGAAAAAGAGUUAAACACUAUAACUUUGAGUUGACAAAUAUUUUUGGAGUGUGGUUGAGUUGACUCGUGUGAUUGUCCAUGAUAGAAUACAUAUUUAAUGCAAACUAACGACAUAUAAUAGUUUUUAUGAGGUUCCAUAUGAAGAGUGGAAUUAGAUCUCACUAACAUUUAAAUAAGUGGUAGUUUUAUCACUCAAUACUGCUCACUUUGAGGUUGACAUUAUCCGAAUCGAGAUAGAUACUUUUUUACCUCCACUUUAUUUCCAUCUAUAUAUACCUAUCAAGAUAAGUAUAAUAAAAAGUGGUACUCACUCUAAAUUUGACACUCUCACUCUCGUAAAAAUGACAAGUCACAUUCUUUAAUUUUCUUAUUUUGGUCUAUUUCUCCAUUCAAUUUGUUAUUUUUGUGAAAUUUAGUAUAGUUUUAAAACAUAAAAAAAACAUAUUAUAGAAUUUAAAUAGUAUCAAAAUAUUUUUAAAUAAAAAAAAUAAAACAUUCGACAAAAUUUUUAUUUUUAGUAAUUUGUUAUAUGGGGUGAAUAGUUUGUUAAUAUCUUUUUUUUUAUAUUUAAGAAAAAAUCUCAUAGAAAAUAAACCACCAAUUUAAAAUUAGAUUUGAACUGUGAAUAUUAGGAUAAUCACUAAAAAAAACUAGGUUUCAAGUAGCCACGUAAGAAUGGAUACAAUCAAAUCGAACCUAUUGUUUCAAAGAUGCAAAAUUAUAGUAAUAACUACAGAUUAAGUUCACUCUCACAUAUUUUAUUCAAAUAACUUAAAACAAAAUCCUAUCAACUAAAUUUAAGUUUCGUUUCAAAAACUAUAAAGCAAAUAAUUUUUUAAUUAAUUUUCAUUUAAUUUUUGAUUACCUAUAACUAAGCGUUUUCUUUAGUAUAAAUGGAAUGAUAAUUUAGACCACAAACCACUUAAUCAUCAAACAUAUAUUAAUAGCAAUUGAGCUAAAAUAUUCUAUCUUUUUAAUUGUAUAUUAUUGAAUUAAAACAAAAAUAUUACGUGGAUUAGUAAAAAAAAGGUAAAUAAUUAGUGUAAUACAAAAACAACACUAUGUUAGAACGUUAAGGCAAAUACAUUUCCAUGUCAAUGGGGGAAAUUGCAAUCGUGGAAAUGACGUGGCACGAUUUCUUAGGCGAGACGCAGCGCAGUGGGGUCACUAACCAUUGAAUUUCAACAAAUAAUUAAAAUGAAAAUGUUAAGAGAACUUCGGAUUGCAAUUCUGGGCAAUUGCCUCCGCUUCUUCUACUUUAUUCGGUCACUAAAUUCUACAUAUUCCCAUUACAAUCCUCUUCAUCCUCCCGAUAUUUUUCAGGAGAAAAGCUUGAGGAAGACAAAACGACGAACUGAGUGGCUAGUGCUUCAUUAUCUGGAGCUGCAAGAUUUACAGGAUUUUGGAUUCGGAGGAGAAAGAUGUGGGGAUUUGGAGGAAGGUUUUACUGGGGAAGAAGAGAACGUGUCGGGAAAGUUGAAGGGAUUGUUGUGGCCUUCGCAUGGAUGUCUAGUCAGGAGAGGCACCUGAAACGAUAUGUGGAUAUGUAUUCCUCUCUGGGUUGGAAUUCACUCGUUUGCCAUUCUCAAUUCCUCAAUAUGUGAGUUCAACUUCCGAAUUUUACUUGUUUCUUUUUUCCGGUUUGAUUGUCAGAUUUGUAUACUGUUGUUAAAAUCUAUGAGCUACUACUAGAUACCGUAUGUGUUUGAAUUGCUUAAGAAAGACAAAUUUAUUUACCAGAUUCUAAAGAUUUCUAGCGGCUAGGCUAGUCUAGUCUUCAAAUUCCAUCUGCGUCUGUUGUAGUGUUCAUUUAACGAGUACACUUAGCGAUAUGGGAUCCAUUUGGGAGAUCGUUGAUACUAAAAGGGAAUUGGGAUAUUUGAUUUUGGAUUUCCAUUUUUUGUUGGCUGAAAAAUUGAAGACAUUAAUGCCUUGAUUCAUAUGGUAGUGGAUCUAAGGCUGGGUGGUUCUGAAGUUUGUUUUGCUUGAGAUUGUUUUCGUUUUUACUUCAGUAUGGGGUUUUGUUCCCUGCUAAGACGUUUGGAUGGCAAGAAAUGAACCCUUAGCUUUUAUAAUAAGCUACAUUGACUUUUUUUGUAUGUCUAAUUUUGAUGAACAUUUGGAGCAGGUUCUUCCCCGAUAAGGCUGCAUCUCUGGCAUUUGACAUUCUUAAAGAACUAAUCGAGGUUAGAACUUGGUACAAUUUUGAAGUGCGAAGUUAAAUUCGUUGUUCAAGUAUGAGCUAUCUAAAUAUGCUAUAAACUUGUGAUAUUUACUUUCAGGAGCUAAAAAUAAAGAGAUGCCCCAUAGUAUUUGCAUCUUUUUCUGGUGGGCCUAAAGCAUGCAUGUAUAAGGUUCUCCAGGUGAGCUCUGUCUUAUUUUUCUAUUAUAAUUUGCUUAAACCACAAAGGGGGGAGGACGAUCAACUCUUCUCUCACAUUUGCCUUUCAUAUCAUGGCAGAUUAUCGAGGGAUAUCAUGAAUCGCAACAACAUAGUUCGGUAAAAUUUAUUCUUUGUUGUUUAAUCUUUCUUCAAAGAUGUCAUCCUAUCACAUGAGAGGAACCCAUAUGGUUUUCCCUGAAAAUUUUCAAUUGGUUUAUGUUAAACUCUGGCUAUAGGAUGAUUAUCAACUGGUCAGGGACUGUGUUGCUGGCUAUAUUUAUGAUUCCAGUCCAGUUGAUUUUACCAGCGACUUGGGAACUCGAUUUAUUCUUCAUCCAACUGUGAUGAAAGCAUCCCAACCACCAAGAAUAGCGUCAUGGGCAGCACAUAACAUUGCUUCCGGUCUUGAUGCACUCUUCCUCAACAGAUUUGAAUCUCACCGUGCAGAAUAUUGGCAAACUCUUUAUGCCUCAGUUGUAAGGAAUUUAAUAUUUACUGCUUUCAAUUCAUUUCAAAUCAGCAAGAUUUAAAUUCACCAAACAAUGCUCGAAUGCAGAGUAUGAAAGCUCCUUAUCUUAUUUUGUGCUCGGAAGAGGAUGAUCUUGCUCCCUAUCAGACAAUCUUCAAUUUUGCUCAACGAUUACAAGAUCUUGGGGGAGAUGUUAAAUUAAUCAAGUGGAAUGGCUCCCCACAUGUAGGUUUGUUCCUAAACUUCUGCAUUCUGUAUGUAUAGACGUUGAUCUUCUCUAUUAGAGUCUGUGUUAUAGAAUAGCAAUACACUAUUGUCCUCUUGGUCAUUUGUGAUUGGAGUUGGUGGCACACACGUUAUCAAAGUGUGCAAGUAAUUUGCAGUAAUAUUUCUGUUUUUUUCUAGCCAACAAUUCUGUCGGUAUUAUACCGGGUUUGAAACCUUGUUUUCUGAUUGUACGUUGUAGGGCAUUAUCUGCAUUUUCCCAUUGAAUAUAGAGCUGCUGUCACGGAGUUGCUAAGUAAGGCCGCUGGAGUUUACUGUCAAAGAACUAGACCCAAUGAAGAAGUAACUGCCGUAGAUAAAAUGAAUUGUGACUCUUGCAAUACAACACCCGACGUUAGAAAAGCUGCAUCUCCAUCAAGUAGUUUUCGAGACUCUGCUCUUGCUCCAGACGACCAUCUUCUCUUCUCCAGUGCGAUGGACGGCUUUGACUAUAGAAUCAUAGGAUCCAUGCGCGAUGAACACAUGGAAGGAGUAAUGCGGCUAUCUAACACGCCGAGUACCAUUCCUCAUGGAGUUCUCGGUCAAAUCCUUUACGAUGCUUGUGUUCCAAAGAACGUUGAGGAUUGGGAUAUUGGAUCAUCAAGUUCUUCAAAAGCUGUCUUGCGUGAGCACACGCGGCGACAUACCUCCUUCAAUCCCAUCAAACUGAUGCGUCGUUCGAGACUGUAGCCAUUCAUCACGAGAAAAGCCAAACUGAAACUCAUCUGUUGCCAUGCCAUCAAUUGCACGUCUUGCUUGAGAACAUGGCCACUGCCAUAAGUGCUGAGACAAGGAAUUAAUGGUUUCUUGAAAACUUUGACUAUUAGGAAACUUUGGACCAAGCAAGAAUGUAAAUGUAAAGCAGAGGUGCAGCAAUGCAGUCCCCACUGCAAAUUUGUAAAUCAAUGAGGAAAAACAUAGCCUUCAAAUGAAUAAAUGUUGAAAGAAACUGCCAUUUAAAAAAGAUUUAAAUAAAGUGGUAGAUAUUUUUAGCAGUGGCUACUGGCUUCUAUAAAAAAAGUAACAUCUAAAAAGACUAAAACUACCAACUUUGAGCACUUGUAAAAGAUUGCUAAUUACUACAAAUUCUCUUCCUUCACGUUUCACAGUAAUGUGUAAAUUUGUGUAGAGAUUUGAUAAUGUAGCGUAUAGGCAUAUAUAAUUCUCGGCAUUGUUAAGGCAUUUCAAGCUUUUCGGCAAGUUCAGUCGCUUUGCCUUCGUUGAAAGUAUGAAGAUUCUUGUUACUGGGGCAUCUGGGUAUCUAGGUGGAAGGCUGUGCCGUGCAUUAUUGAAUCGAGGCUUCUCCGUUAGGGCUUUGGUCCGUCCGACCAGCGACCUUUCUUCUCUUCCUCAUGAUCCUUCUGCUCUGGAGCUCGUUCAUGGCGAUAUCACGGAUUACCAGUCGCUUCUAGAGGCAUGCUCGGGCUGCCAUGUCGUCUUCCACGCGGCUGCAAUGGUCGAGCCGUGGCUUCCUGAUCCAUCGAAAUUCAUUUCUGUAAGUCCUUAGGUUUCGUCAAAACGUUGAUUGAAAUGAAAGUUUCCCGGAAAAUGUUUCAGACAUCUGGGUUUCGGCUGAGCUCAUCGGAUUUCUUUCAAAAUUUGACGAUAUAGUAAAUUAUCGGAUUGUUCAUGUUAGGUCAAUGUACGAGGGUUGCAGAACGUAUUGCAAGCGGUUAGAGAGACGAAGACAAUCGAGAAGAUUAUUUAUACGUCAUCCUUUUUUGCGCUUGGCUCAACUGAUGGAUAUGUUGCCGUUGAAAGCCAGGUAACCAUUAGGAUUUAAAUUUUCAGAAAAUUAUUCUUCCUCCUUGCUUUUGUGAUCCAUGAAUAAAUGCUGUUGACCUUCAUUGAUGUUUUCAAAUUUCUGUGAACGCGACUGUGAUGAUGGCAGGUUCAUCACGAGAAGUUCUUUUGUACAGAGUACGAGAAAUCGAAGGCCACUGCUGACAAGAUUGCAUUGCAAGCUGCAUCUGAGGGGAUUCCGAUAGUGCCGGUUUAUCCCGGAGUUAUCUAUGGUGUUGGAAAAGUCACGGCUGGGAAUGUUGUUGCUCGCAUGGUAAUGACUGCUUUUUCUCUCAUAAAUUUAUGUUGCCGCUUGUUCAAGUCAUUCAGUACUAGCUUAACCAUCAAAAGGUCUUUCAGUGGAAUAACACUCAAUUUGAAUUCAUAUCUUCAUUUUUGGUAGCAAAAUAAUCAUGGACAAGAAAAAUUAUAGUUGUUACGCUGGAAAUCCCGAGAUAAAUCACUUUUGACUGCUCAAAUGAGUUUUUAGACUGCUACUUCCUUCUUUUUGUUCUGAUUAUUCUUUAGAUUGAGGUUUACCCAACACGGACACUUUUGUAGUGAUGAUUAGGAUAGUACUUAGGUGCAUUCCCAGAUGGAUUUAUAUUCACUUAUCUCAUUUUUUAUGGUGACAAAUUAUAUUUGAACAAUUUCGUGGGAGGCAUAAAUAUGACACUGUGAAUAUUCUUUUAGACCACUUUUGAAACUUUAACCAAUUUUCUUACACAGUUUUUAGACCACUUUUGAAACUUUAACUAAUUUUCUUACACAGUCAAAGGUGAUUUAAAAAAAUUACAAAUUACACGAUCGCUUUUAAACACUUUAAAUACAUUUAAAAAGGUAUUUGGUGUUUUACUGCUAGAUAAAAUAUAAUACUCUUGAAAGAAAGACAUCUCUACUUUUUGUAAAAGGUUGCAAGUUUGAAACCCACUUGCUUGUGAUUUAGUAUUCUCAAGACUGUUAUAAAAGGUUAUUAGGAGCCCACUUUUCAUUUUUUUUUAAUGAAGUUCAUAAAAGCUUUUUAUAUCCUUUAGAGGAAUUUAUGAAGAAACCUGGUGAAUUAAUAAUUAAUGAGGCGGUUUAAUGCAUUAGCGAGUAUAUUAACAUUAUUAGCCUUUCUCCUAUACAUUGAGUUGAUUAUGUUAGGUAAUGAAAAAUUAGUUAGGUAAAAUAAAUCAUUUUUUAAAAAAAUACAAAAUAAAGAACAAAAAAGUUAGUGAUUGGAUACCUUGCAUGUAUCUCAAUUAAUCACAAUAGACAACCCUUAACUUUACAACGUUUGAGUUAUAAGAAAACUUGUAGAACCUUUAAAUCCUAAAUGGGUAACUAUCUAGGUUGAACCCAUUAAAUCCAAAGUCAUUUUAUUACACCCAUGACUCUUAUUAACCUCUAUGCCUAACCGUUACUUCUUUGGCUCUUUUUUCCCUCGCUUUGACCGGAUUAUUCUCUUCCCCUUCCCAUUCAUUCGCAUCUGUUAUCCUACUACCCUACUAAUCAUUUGAGAACUGCAGAAAUUAUGCAAAUUAUAUUUUGGUAUAUUUUUUUUUAUUCUUCAAUAGAAAAGCAUAUGCUUAUCCAUCUUUUGGAAGCCUUGUGACACUGAAAAUGGGGAACUUUGGAAUUUUUUGACUUGUUUGUAUGAAGUCAAUAUAUUUUAAUCUGUGAAGUAUUUUACCGAUCUUCAUCUGUUACUAGUUUAACCUCACUUUGCUUUCUCUCACAAUGAGUCAUUUGUGUUACUGUUGUUAUUUCUUAUCAGCUGAUUGAACGGUUCAAUGGGCGACUACCCGGAUAUUUAGGCCAAGGAAAGGACAAGUUUUCCUUUAGCCACGUCGAUGAUGUGGUAGAAGGGCAUAUUGUAGCAAUGCAGAAAGGUCGAGUAGGUGAGAGGUAUCUUCUAACAGGAGAAAAUGCAUCAUUUGUAGAAGUUUUUGAUGCAGCUGCAGCCAUUACUGGUACGAAGAAACCAAUCUUUAAUAUUCCAUUGUGGUUAAUUGAAACCUAUGGCUGGGUUUCAGUUUUCAUCUCUCGAAUCACAGGGAAACUUCCUCUCAUCAGCCCUCCGGUGAGUCAUCGAACUCUCCUGGUCUUUAUUUUUUGUUACGAAAAUUUCUUGCAUCUCUUGUACUCAACAUGGACAACAAUCAAAUACCUAAAAGGGAUGCAAAACAUCGUAAAAAAAAAAAAGGAAGAGAAAAUAUGUUUAAUUUUCAAGAACAAAAAAACAAAAUGCUUACCAAAAUUUUUGCACCCACCAUAGAGCCAUCUAUUAUUCAAUGGGGGAAGCACUUUAGAUAUUACUAUAUUAAUAAACAACAUAUUUGGAGUUGAAGGAAUACACCUUUUGUUUUGUUUUUCUGUUGGUGGAGCAGACUGUGAAGGUUUUGAGACACCAGUGGGCAUAUUCCUGUGAGAAAGCAAAACAAGAGCUGGAUUAUAACCCCCGAAGCUUAAAAGAAGGAUUAGAAGAAAUGCUAGCAUGGCUAAAGAGCUUGGGUUUGAUAAAAUAUUAAAAAAGAUGGAUCUAUGUUGCAAAUUUCUUUUGUUGCUGUAAUAUCACUCUUAAAAAAAUAAAGAGCUGCAAUACCAAACUUUGAUUAUAAACUGAAAAGUUAGCUGUGAUCCCCCAUUUUAUUUUAAAAAAUAGCUUUGGAUUUUAGUCACGCUCUCCCUGUGAUAGAGUGUUCAUCAUAAUAUUUCUCAGAAUUUUCUAUUAAAAUACUAAGUUAGCAAAUUUAUUUUGUAAUGUAUUAAUAUGAACAGUAAUUCUAAUUAUGGUUCGACAGUGAAUGUUGAAGGUUGCUCCAGACAAGUUCAUAAGUCGACUCAAGAUCAAGUAAAACUAAGAGGUGGCAUGAGGAAAUGUCUGUUCCGAAAGAAAAAAGACAAACCUUUAAGUUUUGAGUUGAGACUAAUUGAGCUGAAAGGAAUAUACCUAUCGAGAAACAAUCAAGUCAAACUCAAUCUUGAUGCUCUGCAACCUUGAGGAUCGUAAUUCUCUCUACAUUGUUCGGUACCACAUUUAAGUAACCUUAUUCGACAAUCUCAAAGGGAAUGAAAUAAACUCUAAAGAAGGACUUUUAACUUUACUUGAACAAUGCAUUCUCUACAAUUGUCUAAGUACUCUCAAACGGGUCAACUUGGAAGAUUCAUCAAAGAAGCAGGCCAACCAGGAGUGUACAAAGAGGUCCGCAAUAGUUAAGUUAACUCAAACUAGUAAAGUGACAUUAAAGAGAGAUUAGAGAGAUUUUAAAGUUGAGUUGAACAGGUUGUUAGACCAAUAAGUGGUUUGGUUAUUUGUGGGAAGUCACAUGGGGCGGGAGGUAAGAGGAAGUUUCGUAGGUAAAAGGUAGGGAAUUGAGUUUUGAUAUUGUCAUAUAUGUGUGUUGUAUUGUAUGGUUGAAUUAAGGGGAUUGACAAGAAAAGAAGAAGAAAGGGUGUUUGGAGGGCGUUGGGUUGUUAACAGCUGUGGAUAAUAAUAAUAACAAUAACAACUAUAAAUAAAUAAAUAGAACAAACAUUUUAAACAAUAAUAAUAGUAUUGGAUUUAUUUAAAGCAAGACAGGCGCAUGAGAGAUGGGGAUUUUUGAGUUUUUGGCGUUGCCGUGCACUGGCCCAACACAACUACAACAACGCCGAAUCCCAUCUCUAACCUUUUACCUCUUCCUCCUCGGCUCACCUUCCACACUUCUAUUCAAAUAGCCCCCCCAUCCAUUUAUUACGAAUGAAACACAAGAAAAUAAAAGAUCAUGUUUAGAUCUUGAUUACACCUCUAUACAUGUAACCAUUUUCUACCUAAAUAGCUGUAAUGAGAGAAUAUCAUGUUUUAUAUAUAGUCAACAAAUGAGAGUGUUUUAGAAUUAUUAGUUCAUAGUUUUGAAUGAUAUUUUUUCCACAUGGUAAAAUAUAAUAUUUGUAUAGAAGAAGAUUAAAAGGAAAUUGAGAUUUGGAACGUUUAAUAUGGGCAAUGAAUGAAAAGAAAGUUGAGUUGGUUUUGACUUGGUGGUGGUGGUGGUGGUGGAGGUGUGGUUGGGUUUCACUUCUUCACGCGGUUUUUGUUUCUUUUUCUUUCUUUUCCCAAUUAACUUCCAACUAACGGCGCCGCUAAUUUCGCAAAGCACAAACCUGACGCUGUCCCCAGCACCCCAAUCGGACUUUUAUUCGCUUUCAUUAUUAUUAUUUCGAUUUACCCAUUCAAUCACAUUGCCCCUCGAGCCUCCAUUAUUUCCUUCUCUAUCCGCUCUUUUAUUUGUUUCUCUUUUCUAAAUCCAUAUAUCUUUUUAAAUAUAUAUAUACAAAUUUGACCCACCUUAUUCUUUUUAUAAUUAUUUCCAAUAAUAAUAAAAUAAAUUAAAAUAUUUACAAAUUAUACUAAAAUUUUGAGUUCUAUUAAAAUAGAAACUUAGACUUAUAUCAAUCUCUAUUAUUGAUAUAAUUUGAAAUUCUUACUAUUUGGUUAAAUUUACUAUUUUUUUUAUAACUUUUCAUUUUUUUAAAGGGUAUUUUUUUAAUUAUGUUUUUGGUUUCUGAAUACAUAGGUGAGUAUAGGAAGCGUAUAAUUCAACUAAAUAUACAAAAGUAAAUUCAUAACUCCUUUUAGGGAGAUUAUUUACUCUUUUCCGAGUGAGACAACUUAUAAUUACUUACACAUUCACUUGUGAUUAUGUGUAGUUUGUUAUGCUUGGGGCUGUAAAACGAUAGAUUUAGUACAACAAAAUAUAUCUUUUAUACUUUUCAAUAUAAAAAAUAAUAAUUGAUAAAAUUUGACAUUUUGUUAUAUAUAUUUAGAUUUAUUUUGCUAUAUUCGAAAAACAACCUUAAAAAAAUACCAAUCAUUAAUCAUUACUAAAGGAAUAUUUGGCCUAAAUAUUCGGGAGAGUAAAACUCGAUAAAUGUAGAGUUGUGAGCUCUACUUCUUAUUUGUCCCGAGAAAUUUGUAGAUUCUAAUACUAAAAAAAACAUCAAUUUUAUAUUUUAUCAACUACUUAUUUGUUGGGAUCGGGACACUUUCUAAGUUUAAAGUUCACAAUUCUACCUCCUAAGCAUCCGUAUGCGUCACUACAGGACUGCUGGUUCAACUAGUAGAGGAAGAAAGAGGAUAACAUAAAUAAUUUAAUUUUCACAUGGUUAGUAAUAAUAAACAGAAAGAAAGAGAACAACAAAUAAAAUAGAAAAAAAUGGAUAUAGACUUACAGAGGAGGUAAAAAGGCAACACGUGGCAAAUGGGAAGUGAAAGGGAGUGGAGACGGGUUGGAAGUGGACCGGAUCCAAUGUGGAAAAGAAAAGAUAUAGUAGGGCCCAUUAACUGAGUGGGCCCAAGAAAAGCAGGCCCAGACAGUAAACGUGACCGGCAUGUUAUUUAUUUAUUUAAUGAAUUUAAUAAGAAAGUAAGUGAAGAAGUGAAGGGAAGGGAAAAUGGAGAAUCAACGGUUUUGAAGGCGCCGCAAGCGCCAAAGACAGCUAUGUCGGCUUCUAGCCGGCUCGGGGCGCCAAAUUAACUAAUUACAUUUAUAAUUUUUUAUUUCAUUUAUUUAAAAUGAUGCCAUGUCACCUGUAAAACACACAAAAAGGACACCCACAAAACUCCUUCAUUUACGCUUUUUUUUUAAAUUUUUUUUUCCCUUCCAAUUACAUCUCUCUCUCUUUCCUUUCUCUCUCUCUCUCUCUCUCUCUCGCGCGCGCUCGAAAGAGCUAUGGAAUUUUUGCAGGAUGCCGGGAUCCGCGUUUCUCGAUCGAAGAAAUCAAUUCGAUUGAUGCAAUUUUUUCCAAUUUUGGUGUAGUUAUUCAUUAUUCAAUCGCCUCACUUUUCCUCUCCUCUUGCCUGUAAAUCCUCUUUCUAAUUCUUUUCCUUUUCCCGUUCUUGUUUUCUUUUAUUUUGGCGUUGGGGUUGGGGUUGGGGUUUCGAAGAUUUUGGAAUGUUACUAAGGUAUGAUAAUCGUUUGAUCCUCGGGUGAACUGCAUCGAAUUUAUUUAUGUUGUCGUUGCGUUUUUCUUUUCUCUCUGAAUAAUUUGUUUAGGAUCAAACUAGAGGCUUAAGUUGUUUCCGAUGAUGAAUUCGUGGUAAAUUAUGAAUGGAUUCGUUUGUGUAAUGUUGUUAUUUUUGUUUUUUUAUUUUUUGUACAUAUGGUUUUGUUUUUGUGAGACUUUUUUAUCUUCCUGUUGGAGAUCUCGAAAGUUUGGCAGUAAUGAUGGUGUGAUUUGUAUCCUUGAAGCGUAUGAUUAGAUGUGUGAUUUCUUGUACGAAAUUUGUUUUUGGUUUUUGUUUCCACAAUGUUGGUGUAUGUGCAUGUGAAGUGUCUGGUUCUUCCGGUUUUUGAUGAUCUAUCUUGCAGGAUUUGUUCGAUUAGAUAUGACGAUUUAGAGUUGGACGGUGCCUAUUUUCUGCGGAAGGCCGUUUUGAAAUUUUGAGGACGCGAAAUACAAUGUCCACGAGGAGUGAACAUCAUACAGUCCCGCUUUCCGUGCUCCUGAAGCGUGAAUUGGCGAUUGAGAAGAUUGAGAGACCGGAAAUCGUACAUGGUCAGGCGAGUCAGAGUAAGAAAGGCGAGGAUUUUACAUUACUAAAGACGGAAUGCGAGAGAGUGGUCGGAGAUGGAGUUUCAACCUAUUCGGUUUUUGGGGUAGGUUCUCUUUGUUUGCUUGAAAAAGUUGAUGUACUCUAUUUGAUCGGCGGUUUACUUUUAACAUCUAUGCUGUAUAUCAUGUCCACUUCUGAGAAUGUGAAAUUUUGCUGCAUUAGAUUGGACUUCUGUUUGUAAAUUAAAAUUGAAUUCUCAUUUUUGCAGCUUUUUGAUGGACAUAAUGGAUCUGCAGCUGCUAUUUAUUCUAAGGAGAAUUUAUUGAACAAUGUUUUAGCUGCUAUUCCAUCGGAUCUCAACCGAGACGAAUGGGUUGCAGCAUUGCCAAGGGCCUUGGUUGCAGGUUUUGUGAAGACAGACAAAGAUUUUCAAGCAAAAGGUGAGACUAUCUCCAUGUAACUAAAUUUUUGGUCUUAGUUGUUCUUGGUUACCUCCUCUAGGGGUAAUCCACUGUCACCCACCUGAGAAAGAGAAGAUUGUGGAAUGGAGUUCAUUUUAUUUUGUAUGGUGAUGAAAGGGUUGGGGAAACUUUUGUUUACCAUUAUGGUGCUUUCAAGAUUGCAAAUUUGCAACUUCAUUUGGAGGAAAAAAGAAAAAGUAUGCGUGACCUUAUGAUUUUUGUUUGCUCAGAAUUAGUCUUGAAAGUAUUUGACAUAGCCAAUUCUGCUCGAUAACCAAAAGUCUAUGGGCUGCACGUCUGUGGCCUUAUCUUUUUUACAACUUCUCUUAAAAGUUCCCCACCCAGAAAUUGCAAUUCUGGUAUGGACAUUUUAAAACCUUGAGAUAAUGAUGCCUUGCUAUUUGUUGUUAUUUCAGCACAAACAUCAGGAACCACAGUCACCUUCAUGAUCAUUGAGGGAUGGGUUCUCACUGUUGCCUCUGUUGGUGAUUCCCGUUGCACUUUAGAAUCAUCUGAAGGUGGCAUAUACUACUUAUCUGCAGAUCAUAGACUAGAAAGCAACGAAGAAGAGUAUGUGGUCCUUUUAUUGCAAUAUGAUUUUUACCACCCACUUUAGUUAUUAUUAUUGUGCUUAAGAUUCUUGAAUGCUUUUGAAUAGGAGAGAACGUAUAAUUGCUAGUGGUGGUGAGGUGGGCCGGCUGAAUACUGGUGGUGGUGCAGAGGUACAGUUGUUUGACUGAUUUUUUAUGAGCUAUUCUUACCUUUUCAACUUUAAUUUUCCAAGACUGACUUUUGUAUGCUUAACUUGCUUGCCCUUUGUUUUUCUUAGAUUGGUCCGUUGAGAUGCUGGCCUGGUGGCUUGUGUCUAUCACGAUCAAUUGGUGAUAUGGAUGUUGGCGAGUUUAUAGUGCCUGUUCCCCACGUGAAGCAAGUUAAGGUAGCUUUCUGUCCAGCAAUGUUUUCUUUCUACGUGUUAUAUAUUUAAAAGUUAUAGUCAUCCUUGCUCGCUACAAACCAAUUCUCUUUCUAUGUAAUAGUUUUGCCAUUGAAAUUUAGCAUAAGGCUGUUGCCUAUAGAAACUCCUUUUUCCAAAUGUGAAUAUAAGCUAAUAUAACUGCUUCUGGCUGGGCACAGAUGGCGACUCAUUAAUUUAUUAUUAUAAUUUCUUUCCCCAUGUUUUGGCAUGUGAUCUGCAUGUGAACCUUGUUUUGGAUCUUCAAUAUCCUUUGAUAUCCAUAAUAGUCAAACGUAUUAUAUCCUUGUAUGAGGAUAAGAUUGGAGCUUUAUUUUACUGGAUUGUAGGUCUCAUAGGUGAUUAUGGAAAAAUCUUAAUACUCUUGCACUGAUUUUCGUUGAAUGUUAAAUUAAUAUGUUUUACAGUUAUGGGAACUGUAUCUUACUAACCGAGCUAGGUAAUAUGUGGUCCAAUUGAAUUGCAGAUGAAUUUUAUAUAUAAGACUCAUGGGAGUUGUGUAGCAGGAGAUGUCAGAGGAAACCAAUACAUCCUGUUUUAAGCAGUUUAGACUUUAGAGUUGGUUUAAAGAUGAGAAAGUACUAUUAGUCUUCGAUGGUUACACAGCUGUGUAUGAGCGAGUAAAUGGCCAAUGUAACCGUUGAAGGAUAGAGAGUUUAUAAAUAGGAAAAGCUAAAGAGACAGGAUAAACGUAGACAUUGUCUUUUUUGUGGUUAAGGAUAUAUUAAAUGGAGGAGAGGCCAGAUUCUUGACUUCUGGUCUUAUUUUCAGCUAUCAGUAAACUAUUUAUGUUUUUUUAGUUCAUUGUUGUCAGGGAACCAUUUGCUUUCUUGGUUUUAGUUUUUGAUAUUUAAUUGAACUGCAACAUAUUUGUGUAAUCUGCAUCUGAAACGACAUUCUUUUUAUCAAGUAAAUUCAUGCUCUUAUUUAAUCUUGCAGCUAUCUUCUACUGGUGGUAGGGUUAUUAUUUCAAGUGAUGGUGUUUGGGAUGCUUUAUCAGCUGAAACGGCCUAUGAUUGUUGUCGGGGGAUGCCAGUGGAAACUGCUGCCGCACAGAUUGUGAAAGUAUGGAUUGUUACAAAUUGAUUAUCUUAGUCCUUGUUUUUGUACUGCUACAAGAACUUUCUUUAAUGUUAUGUUGAUUUUCUACUAAUUGAAUGCAUUUCUUUCCAGGAAGCAGUUCAGUCAAAGGGACUUCGAGAUGAUACUACAUGUAUUGUGAUUGACGUAUUACCAAGGGAGAAACCAUCUACUGCUUUGCCACCACCAAAGAAGCAGGUAAAAGGAAUGUUUAAAUCAAUGUUCCGCAAAAGGUCUUCUGAAUCAUCUUCUCAUUUUGAGAGGGAAUAUAAUGAGCCAGAUGUUGUCGAGGAAUUAUUUGAGGAAGGAUCGGCUAUGCUGUCAGAAAGGUUUGUGCAUUAACAGCAGAGAAGUUAAAUUAAUUCAGCUAACAUUUUAAUGAUCAACUCAGAUGGGGAAUUCUGGUUUACUGUUACUUUUCUAGUAAUGGUGCUAAGUUAUGGUAAAUAUGCUCUUGACUUCAACUUCUGAAAUGCAGGUUAGAUUCCAAGUAUCCAGUCUGCAACAUGUUUAAGCUGUUUGUAUGUGCAAUAUGCCAAAUUGAGAUCCAACCACGGGAGGGUGUCUCCAUAUAUGCCGGCUCAUCUAACCGAGGGAAAUUGCGUGCUUGGGAUGGACCUUUUCUAUGCUCAAGUUGCACAGAGAAGAAAGAAGCUAUGGAAGGAAAAAGAUCAUCUGGAGGUCUGUGGAUCUUGUGUUUGUGUAUGGUUGAGUAUGCGUGUUUGUCUUUUCAAAUUGUUUGUACAGAUUUGGUCCUUAAUUGCUUAAAGAUUAUCCUUAUGCGUCUGCACAGAUAGACACAGCAGCGGAAGUGACUAGCAUACUCUUCAAUUACACUUCAUUGUGGGUGCACUGAGCAGCGUUGAUUGCGAUCUUGAAAAUGGCCAGUCUUAGAAAUUGUUCAGAGUUGACCUUCAUCUCGGAAAUGGACCCCUCUCGGAGGUUUUCCUCAAUUCUCAUUGCUUUCAUUGAGAAUUUGGAUCACUUUUUGGAUUCCACGACAAUUCCAUUGGGAAAUAUAGCUCUCUAGUGUUACUAUUCAAGGCAGGAGAUUGCUAGUUAGAGUUGAUUGCUUUUGGAUACUGUUUUCUGACACCAGUUUAUGAUUGACGUGCUUGCCUCACAUCUUGGGAAAGCUUUCGAUAAAGUCGCCUGUAUAUGACACUGAAGAGUGAAGGUAAAUCAUUUUAGUUUCUCCAUUCAUCUCAUUAUCUGCUUGUCCUUCCAACUUACAAUACCACUGAAUGAACAUAUUAGUCAUUGUAAUUUAAUAUAUAGGGGGAUUCAAUUAGAUAUUUUUAGCUCACUGUUGGUUAGGAGGAAAUCCCUUGCAACACAGCUGCCUAGAUGAAUUGUUCAUACAGAUUUGAUUACAUUCUCUGACAUGUUCAAGAUGAUGAACCAUAUCAAUAGAAAAUAUUGGCAGGCCCCUUUUUCCGAGGAAAAGAAAAUCGUCCAAUACCCAUUACUUUAGUUUGUAUGUACGAAUUGAACUCUUUUAUGUUUUUCUGUUAUUCUUACCUGAAUGGAUUCAAGAAUUCGAUCCAAAUUCGGUUAUUUAGACAUUGACAUCUCCUACGUUUUGACCAGUCUUUAUUUUGCCAACUCUUUGAACCAAUAUGUACCCUUGAAUCUGGCCUUUCUGUUCACUUAUCCUCCCUCUUACUGAUUUUCUUCUCUUAUUGUGCGAUAGGAAAGCGAAACCAUAGAUAUAGACGACCCGAGGUUAGUGCGUGUUGUGGUCACAAGCCACAAGGCAAGAAGUAGACACUGUUUUGGUUGUAUUUGGCAGUAGAAGCCAACCCACACGUGAACUGCAAGCUAGCUAAUAGGGACUUGUUAUUGUCUUGUGUUUUAGAUUUUAUUCCUUUUGAGCGUAGAGACGUGAGAAAUCUAAAAGUUUCUUUUUCUUUCUUUGACUAUUCCUCCAUUACCCCCAUUAUUACGAGCAAUGUCGAGUAGAGUCUGGUCGUUUUAUUGAUCAGAUGAAGUGUGUGUGUGUGAGAGAGAGAGAGAGAGUGAAAGAGAAAUAGAAACAUAAGAGAUUUGCAUAUUUUGAUCUCAAAAACAGAUUUGUAGGAAGUUUGACCUUAAGAUUCAUUCAAUUAUCAUUUUAGAUAGAAAAAAUUGAAAGGUGCAUUAAUAACCUGUAAAUGCAAGUCGUGACAAAGAUUCUAAGGACCCAUUUUCACAAGUCCUGUGCUUUUCUUUUCCUUUUAUUUCUCUUGUUAUGAUUUGAGAUACUCAUAUCCACUCAUCUUCUUCAUUUACUCUCACCCACAGAUCCUUUCGAUACUUAUCUUAAUCAAAGCCUUUCCUUCUUAGCUAACUUGCCCAAUACCGCUCUUUUCCGUUAACAAUGUUUGUCUUUUGACAUAACAACAGUAAUAAUUUUCUUUGCAAACUCAUAAGUUCAAUCAAUUCUGGUCAUUUUCAUAUGAAUUAAUUUUCUACGUAUUUUCUUAAUUCUUAAAUGUUGUAAAAUCUAUUGGGUUGUUAGAUCAGUCGAGAUGUGCAUAAACGGACUUUAACACUCGUAGAUAUAAAAAUAAAUAAAAAUAGAAAACAAACCCACAAGCUUCAGAGGUCCAAAACACUUCACAUUCAAUCCUCUCUCUAACAUUUCGAGUGAUAUUGAGAUAUGAAAUUUAUGAAAUGUCCUCUCUCUCUCUUUCUCUUUCUCUUUCUCUCUCUCUCUCUCUGAUGGAUGGCUCUUACAUUAUCUCUCUCUGAUGGAUGGCUCUUACAUUAUUUCUCUAUGAUUUUGUUGUUGACCUGAGAGCUAAUUCAAAAAACCUCAAAAGUAACCCUCUGCUGCUUCUGUAUUGGAUUGGACCACCCUUCACACGUGUGUGGGUCUACUAUUCCACCAAACUGCUUGAAAAUUCUUAUCUUCCUUUUUUUUCCAUCUCAUAUUGUAAUUUCUCUCCUUUUUUUCUCCCAUCACGUGUGCUGUCGAAUCUUAGUCUAGAAAUGAUUUUUUUUUUCCUUUUAGAAAUCAAGAACAAUAUGUGAUUUUUUUCAAAGAAAAACUAUUUUGAAAUAUGUUAAAUGAAACUACUGACUUUACCUUAAUAGAACCUGUUCUAUAGGUUGCACUUCUAUGUCCGAGACACUGCCCUAAAACUAGAGCGUGAUUAACAGUUGAACGGACCUAGAGGAUCGUUCUUAUUAGUAGGGUUUGCCCUGAUGGGAUGGUGUGAUAAACCAUAUUGAAAAAAUGAAAAAUAGGAUGUGAAUUGAUAAAAUGGAGGAUUGAAAUUGAUAUAAGAAAAACUGUGUCGGUACAACUUUUUGAAAUGAUAUGUUGGUUUAGGAGGGGGAGGCACGUGCUGUAAACAGUUGAUAUACAUCAUUUUCUAAAUCUUAACAAAGUUAAUAAUUUGGGCUCCAAACACGACAAAAUUUUCUUCAUCACCCUUAAUUACAUUAAGUUCUAUUUUUCUCUUUCAAUAAAUUAAAAUGAAAAUACGAUAAAUAAUUAGAGAACAGAAAUGUCUGGAUUGAUUAGCUGUGAAAAGUGUCUUCCCCAUACUUCCCCACAAAUCAAAUAUUAUGUUGUGCUUGGAUCUCCAUUCUAAAUAUUUAAUAAUUUAAUGUGAUUAAAAUAUAUUUAUUUUUAUUUUUUUAAAAAUAAAAAUAGGAAGAAAAUUCGAAACACCACUAAUGUCUAAUAAUGAUAUUAAUAAUAGUAGCUAAGAAGAUAAGAAAUUAAGGUUGUAUUUGUUGUUUGAAUUAAUAUUUCUGGAGCAGAAGAAAAUGUCAAAAGAUUGAGUGACUUUUUCAUGAUUGUUAGGUAAUUUGCUAUGGUUUUAGUGACCAACUUAAGACAGUUUUGAUUGCUGAAUUAAAAGGACAACAUGGAAAGAAAGUUAAAAAGACAUUACACUCAUUAAUUUUCAAAUUGAUUGACUGACAUUACAUAUUCUUCAUUUGUCAUUUUCAAUCUAAUUUGUCAUAUUGGCCACUUUCUCAAAUAAAAAUAUUAUCUCCAAAAAUGGGUUUUCUUCUACUACUGUAAUAAUAAACAAUUGAGUUUCUAUUUUCUCAAAAAAAAUCAUAUUAUCUGAGAGAGAGAGUGUGUGUGUUUUUUGUUUAUUUAAUUCUUGAGUUCAAUAAUGGUAAGAGCGAGAGAUUAGAGCAUUGAUCUUCCGAAGUAUUUUUCUAAUUUAUUGAAGAUAUAAUAAUGUCAGAAAAAAAGCUAUUUCUGAAGGGGAUCCCUAUGAUCAAAGUACUUAGUACUUUAAUAGCUGUUGGAUUGAAUUGGGGACCCAUAUUUCUGUACAUGAAGAGGAAAAAUGUACUUAAACCAAACCUAAAUUCAAUGGGUUGCUAUUUCCACAAAAGACAUUCCAUUCUCAGCUUUCAGGCAAGUCAAUAGACAAGAUCCUUUCUCUCUCUCUCUCUCUCUCUUUCUAUCUCUCCACUACUUCAUAAUCUCCUUAUCUUUCUCCAAAAGUUGAAUUUAGAGACACAGUAUCUAAGAAUCUGAAUUAUGAACUCCAAUCGGAACCACAAUACCACAGCAGAGAAUUUUGCAGAGUACAAGAAGCAAGAAACAGAGAAGUUUAAGGUUGAAGAAAAAGAAACCCAACAACCAAUUCAAGACUCAUCAUCAACAACUUCCCCUCUUCUUCCUUCAGCUUCUUCUUCUCCUUCACAUGAAUUUUCCUUCACAAUUUCUCUCCAUUCUUCCUCUUCUGACAGAAACAAACCAACUCCACCUUCCUUUGCCAUUGAUUUGUCUCCUGCAGAUGAUAUCUUCUUCCAUGGCCACUUGCUUCCCCUCCAUCUCCUGUCCCAUCUUCCUUCUUCGCCUCGUUCCUCCACCAAUUCCAUGGACAGUUUCACCAUCCCAAUCAAAGAGAUAUGGGACAAUGAAGAGCCCCUCAAGGACAGCUCAAGUUGUAGCACCAGCAGCGUCAAGAAUCUGGAAACUGAACCUACUGAAACAGGUGGGAGAACCAAAUCCAAGCCUUUCUCGUUGUUUGGAUUUUCGAGAUGGCGAAAAGGAUGCGAGAUUACCGAGCAAGACGAUAAAGCAAAGCACAAGAGGAAGUUGGGGUUUGAUGUUAGUCAGGUUCUAAAACGAUAUGCAAGAGUGGUUAGGCCAUUGUUGUUCUUCAGAUGGAGGAAAGAGAACCUGCAUAUUCGUCGUCAAGCUUAUUCAUUUUCGGGCAAUUUGAAUCCUCGAAACAAGCAAGAAUUGAGAGGAAGAAGAGGAGAAUUCUCAGCACCAGCAUCCAUGAGAACAUCCCCGACAAAUAGCGGCCUUCUCGUUGCGACUCCAUCUAUGAGUUAUGCUACAAGUGAUAGCACCAUGGAAGAGUUGCAAUCUGCAAUUCAAGCUGCGAUUGCUCACUGUAAGAACUCCAUUGCUAAAGAAGAUAAAACCAAUGUCAAGAGUUGAGAUUAACAGUAAAUCUUCUUUUGCUUGCAAACACGGAUUUCUGUAAAAUAUCCACACACAGAGGUGUCAAUCAUUUAAACUGCUUGCAUGGCUUCCAAAAUCUCAGAGAAAUGAAGUUGGUAUUUAAUGUAAAAAGGCCAAUGAUUAAUUGUUCUUAUACACUAUUCUUGAUCGUGAAUUAUAAUAAUUUUAAAAACCUCCUUGGCUUGUGCAUAGACUACGCUUUUUCAUGUGUUAUUAAUGCAAAGAAUUGAAUGAAUCAAUAAAUGAAGAACAUCAUAGAACAGAAUUUUUUUUUCAGUCGCUUUGCUGACAAUGCUAUGAAAAAGUUCAUUCAUCAAAGACAGAUAGGUUUCACUGUUUAAUUAAACCUUAACAUAAAUAUUUCAGAAAAUCAAUUGAAAAAGGUUCAAAUUUUUCCAUAAAGUUGAGGCUAGAAAUUGGCAUAUUUCCAUAACCGAACUUGUCCUAGAAUUGACAUACCACAGAACUCUUUCCCCACCUCUCUCUCUAUCUCUCUAUCUCUCAUCAUCAUCAUCUUACUCUUAACAUUAUGAAUUCCAACCACAAGAUUGCUGAGUAAAACUGAAAGUGAAGCUUCAUAAGAACUUCACAAGGGAAAAUGAAAAAGCUCAUAAGAACUUUAAUUCAGAGCCGGGCCAACCCCACGAGAAAAGAGACUGAUAUCUCAAACAAAUUUCGGGUUUGUGGAAAAAGAGCUUGAAUCAGAUUUCAGAGUAGGGACGCGUUGGAAUGGGUUAUGCAAGUGAGUCCAACAAAACCAUAGCCACAGAUUUAAAAAAAGACUACCCCCCAAAACCAAAAGUACCAUAAUACAAAGGGAUAACAAUAAUUCAAAAGCCCACUCAAAACUCUAAUCAUCUUUGAACCAUCAAAAGAAUCCAGAGUCCUACGGAAUCAACAAUCAACAAUCAAGGAAAAACAAAAACAUAGAGAAUCUGCAUAGAGAUUUAGUACUUCUCUAAACUCUAGAAUCAAAAUCAUAAACAAUGUAAAUAACAUAAAUAUGAAUACAAUUUAUAACAUAGAGUAAGACCCUAAAUGCUUGGAUAUUUGGAGAAACAAAUAACGAAUUCAAGGUAUUCCAUCAUAGACAAUCAUGACGAUGAUGAUGAGAUAUAGGUGCCUUGAUUGGCCAUAUUCGUAGUAUAUAAAGUACCCCACAUGAUCAUAUCACUACCCAGUAAUCAGUAGUCCCACACAAAAAGGGAUCUCAGUCUUUUCAACAAUCAUAGAGAAAAUGGAAUUGCAGAAACGGAUAAAAGUGCAUAAAAAGAGAGAUAGAUAUAAAGAGAGAUCCAAAAACAUAAAAGGGUUUUUGAAUUUACAUCAAGAGCGCACGAGUGGGUGGUGGAAGAGGGCUUUCAGCCGCCCGUGCGACGGCAUUGGCAAGCGAUUGAGGACCAUUUUUGGAGCUGAGAUCGAGGUAAUGGGGGUUCAUAAUUAAAGUGGCUCACCAAUCAUGUGAAUGGUUUCAAAAAGAUCACAAAACCCUUUUGAACAGAGAAGAUUAGGAUUGCUUUUUCACAAGUUAGACAAAAAAUUUAGCAAGCCAAGUUUCUUCACUUUUUGCUUUUUGCUUUUUGCCUUUUCAUUCAUCUAAUUUGAAAUUGGUUGAUCCUAACAAAGAUGGCGACUCCAAGCAUUAUGAAAAAUUCCAGAUUGGUCAUACCUCUCUAUGGCUUUUCAAAUAAUGACUUUACCAUUAUAGAUUAAAAGCUAUUGUGGUCACUAAUAAUUUAAAAUUCAAUUUAUAAAUAAUUUACUUCUUAAACUUUUUAAUUACGUACUGUUUAUUUUUUAAUUUGUAAUCAUACAACUUUCUUGUGAUCUUUAUAGUUUAUAGAAUAUAUUGAUUAUGAUCAACUUACCCAUUUAUAUGCGUAAGAAAUUGCAUAAGUUUUCAUAAUAUUUUUCUACAAUAAGAAUUAAAUGGCUAUAAAUUGUAAAUGACGAAAGCUAAAUUUACCUUAUCAAUACUCAAUCAUUAGGGACUAAGUUAUGGCUUUAUAAGAGUUCAAUAACUAAAAUUAUUAUUUUAACCGUAACUUUUUUAAACAAAUAUUUUAGAUUGAAAAUUACGAAAUUGAUCUUUAAUAAAAGUUGUUUUUACUCCCCCUCUCGUUUGUUGUUAGGUAAAGACUUCUUAUUGUCUUAGAAAAGUUGAUUUGUAACGAUGUUUGAAUCUAUAAUCUAAAGUGCAUUUGGAUUAACUUUUUAAAUAUUUAUAAAUAUUUAUUUUACAUUUAUAAAUACUUUUUUAAACAAUUAAAAAGUCAAUAAAAAAAUACACUUUUUAAGUUGAUUGGGAGGAAUUUGUUUCUAUUAGAUCUUAUCAUGAAAUUAAAAAAAAAAACUAUCUUGAAACAAAUAAAAGCAACCAAACUUUUAAUUCUGAUGUUACUGAUUCUUACCCUUUAAUCUUUGUACAGUUUAGUCUAUGAUCUUUUUAUUCCUAAAAAAAAACCCUCAAUUCUAUAUAUAAACAUUUUAAAACAAUCAUUCUUUGGCGUUAUAUGAUAUCUCAUUCACAUAGUAUAUAUAAUUAAAAAGGAAAAGAAAGAAAAAACUCUUCUAAUAUAUUGAGAUCAAAGAUGUGAUUUAUUUGGCCCAAAGAGGCAAGUUUGGGCCUAUUUUCCAUGCAUUGUCUAAUAAAAUGGUCUAUACACAGUUUGGAUAAACAACUAAAUCUACUAAUCUAGAAUGUAGAAAUGGACAAAUAUAUCAUUGUUAUCAAAUCCCUCCAAUAAUUAUGGUUAGCAAAUGAACAAAUAUAUCCCUCUUAUCAAAUCCCUGCAGUUAUGGAGGUUUAAGGAGGAAAGAAAUUGCAAGAAACCCUAAACUGAGGAGGGAAGAAGUGGUAGAAAGCAAACUAUGAGAUUAUGAGGUAGCAAAAGCAGUAUUAAAGGGAGAGGAAGGUGGGUUAGCAAAAGUUGCCUUCGAAUGAUCGACCGGAAGGUGAUCAAAAAACGCUAGUAAAAACUAAUGCGAUGAAAAUAUUGAAGAACGUAUUUUCUGAGCUAAAAAACUAGUGUGUGAUUUUUUUUUGUAGUGGCAUGAACAUCAAGACCCUAACUUUUCUUAGUCCGUGUAUCCAUGAAGAAUGAAGAUAGGAAAAAAACUUUAUCCUAAUAAUGGUUUGAGGAUUGAUAUCUAAAAAAGUUUGUUAUAGAAAAUAUAUAGGAAAAAAUUGAUUUUGGCAAAAGCAUUACAAUUUCUCUUAUUUUUUUCUAAAAUGUGUAUUUGAAUGGAUAAGCUUAGGGGCAAUGUAACGUAGGAAUAUAUGUUUAAAACUAUUGGGUAAAGUGUUUUCCAUAUUUCUCUUUCCAAAUCUUUGAUUCUUAAAUUUAUCUUUCCAAAUAUCUCAAUUUGACUUCAACUUAUUCCUCAAAAUUAAGGUUGGUAUCCCCAUAACUUAGCGUUAAUUUCUAUAUGUAUUUCUUUUUCUUGGAAAGUUAUUUCAAUUGGUUGAAAUUAUUUAUGAAAGAAAAAAAAAAUAUCUCUUUAGUUCUUAAAUCUCGAACCAUAGAUACAUUUAAUUGGCGUGGUCCAUAAAGUUUAAAGAGUUCGAUCUCUUGAAAAUCUAUUAAAUUUUAAUAUAAAAAAAAUUAUAAAUGUUAACAUAGCAAGAUGAUAUGGAAAAAACAUUAAAUUUAAACUUUUUAUAUUGAAUUUAACCAUUAAAUUUAAUAUAAUAUAAAAAAUUAUCAAUUCUUUUUUUUUCUUUAAUAAAAACAAGGCUAAUUUUUUUUAAAACAAUGUGGAUGCUUGUGUUAAAAACAAUUGUAAACUUCCAAAAUGUUUAAAAAAUGUCUUUAAACUUUCUAAAUUAGUUCAGAAAUAUAAUUACCGUUAGUUUUGAAUGAAAAUUGUUAAAGUUUUGUUUCAAAAAUACUCGUGAACGAUUAAAAUGUUUCAUAAAUAUCACUAAACUUAUAAAAAUUCAAAAAUGUUUUCAUUAAUUCAAAUUUUACAUCAAAUUUCUUAACGCUCAAAAUAAAAAUAAAAAUUUUAAGUUAAAACUAUAGAAAAUUCUCAUUGAUGUGGAUAUUUUUAUUGAUAUUUUGAUAUUUUCAUAGGUUCGAUAUCGAUAGAGGAGGUGAAUAUAUAUUUCCAUUACAUCGUAGAAAAAUUCACGAAUCACAAAAGUAAAUAUGAAAAUGACACAAUAUAAAUAUAAAAUAAAUAAUAUACAUGUUUACUUAUUUAAAAAUAAUAUUACUAAAUUAAAAUUAUUUUUUGAAUUUGUUUUUAUAAUUUUAAAAAAAUGUUCAUUAAAAUCAAAAUUUUGUAAAUUAAGAUUUUGAUAUAUCAAUCAAGAUUGAAAACAUAAAAUUAGACAAAUCUCACGGAGUUUCAAAAUAGAUCUUCCUUAAAAUAUAAUAAAAUAAUAACUAGUCAAAUAAAAAAAAUCUCACACUUAUAGAUGUGUGAAACUAUCACACUGUGUUAAUAGUCAAAUACAUUUUUCUAUUUAUCAAUUAAUUAUAUGUUAAUUAUAAUAAUAAACAUUAUUAAGAUUAGUUGUGUUUGUAUGAUAUAUCAACGUGUGUUAGUAGUUAAAUAAAUUUAAAACAAUUAUCUUAACUUAAAAUUUUUAUUUUGAUUUUAAUUGGUGAGAGUUUUGGAUAAAUAAGAGAAUUUAUUAACUUUUCUUAAGUUCAAAUGUAUUUUUGAAACUUUCCAAAUUUAACCGUUUCAAUUCAAAAACUAAUGUUAAGAGUAUUUUUGAGUUAUUUUUAAAGUGUAAAAGUGUAUUUUUGAAACUUUUAAAAGAUUACGGAUAUUUUUGACACAAAUAUCGAUAUCAAAGUUGAGGAGCAUUUUCUUUGCAAUAACGAAGUUUGCCUCCUCGAUCCAUGGAUUUAAGACGUGGGUUUUGCUUUAAUACGAAUAAAAAUAGAAAUGCAUUAGUUUAAAAUUGAAUUCUAGUUUACUACGAAUGGGUGAUACUUAGGGUGUAUCUUGAAAUGUUUUAUAUUUUAUGCAUCUCUUUUUCAUCAUUCACGUUAAACAAAUAAUUAAAAUAUUCCAUAGAAGUAAUAAAAGACUUGCCACAUAACAAAUUGUUGGGAUGUACGAAGGUAGGCGAUGUUCGGGAUGCGCCUAAGUUUUAUUCUUUCAAAAGGAUCUUUUUUUAUUGUCGUGCCAAUAUUAAAUUAAAUUUUUUUAUAUAGAAAGAUUUUUUUAAACUUAUUUUUCAAAACUGACUGAUUCAAAAACUUUUUUAUUUAUUUAUAUAAAUAUAACAAAAUGUACCUGUAGAUAUUCUAGCUCAUUUUAUUAUAUUUAAAAACAUUUUUUUACUUUGAAACAAACAGAUAAUUUUUGAAAAUGAGUGGGUAAUGACUAUGGAAGAACUGUUAAAAUUAUAAGAUUUAACAAAAUAUUUAGACAAAAUGACAUGUAAUAAAUUUUGUGUUUUAGGGGUUUGAGAGUAAAAUAGUUUAUCAUUUUUUUUAAUUUUUGAAGAAACCCCAUCUAUUUAUUUAUCUAUUUUUCCUUCUUUCUUAGAGCUAAUUUAUGGUUUAAUUAAGACCCAAACUCUAUUUUUGACCUUCUUAAUUAAAAAGAAUAUAUAAGACCCUAUGAUAUGUAUUAUUACUUUCAACAUAUUUAAUUUCUUGUUUGGCUCUUUUAAAAAUUAUUAACUCAAUUUUUUAAAAUCUGAAAAAUAGUUUUAGAAACUAAUUUUUGCUCUUGAUUUUGGUUAAAAUUUUGAGUGUUGCUGAAUUAAACAAUAUGAAUUAAAAUUACAGUACAAGAAGCUGUAAGAAACUCAUUCUUAUAAACUAAAAACUGAAACCAAAUAAUUUCUAAAUUGAUUCCUUCCAAUAUAUAUUUUGUACCAACGCAACUUAAAAUUUCAAAUAAAAAAGUAAUUUAAAUUGUUUUUAGAAUUUGAAAAGAGGGAAAUCAAUUGACAAUUUGAGAAAAAAACAGACGUAAUUUUUUUUUAAAAAAAAUGCAAUAUUUAUUUAUUUUGAAAGAGAAUAUCGAACACGUUCAUCUUUUUCUUAAAAAAAAUUCUGAUUCUUUUGGAAAAUGAUCUAAUAAACACACACACUUAUAUUAUACCACUUGUAAACUAGGCUUAACUAAGAUCAGCAUCUACUCCCUAAUUAACAUUUUUCUAUGUUUUCUAAUAUACUUUACAAUUGGUAGACAGUAAUAAUAUAUUUUCAAUUACAAUUUUAAGAGUUUUCGGACAUUAAACCAUUCUUUUUUGGAAAGAAAAAUGUAGUUAAAAUUAGAUUACUCGAGUAAGAAAUGUAGUUGGUAUGUGAAGGAGUUUUGUAUAUUUCUAAUAUCACUCAGCUCGUCUUUCAAUCAAACUCAAAACUUAACGUUUAACAUUUUAAAACUUAAAUAUUAAAUAGGAACUAAAUUCAAAACUAAAGAAUGAAAAAGAUAUUCUUCGUCCUAGUUAUAUAUUAGCACUCAUGUCAUCUCUCCUAUGUUUUCGUAAAUUUCGAGAGUAAUUAAACUUUGUGAGAAGAGGGAAUAAUAUAAAGCAAAAAAGUAAGUUACAUGAAUCUAAACUUUAAUUACUACAACCACUAUUCUCAAUCUUGAACAAUAUAACACAUGUGAUACCACAUCACUUUAUAUAAACACAUUUAGAAGAUUCUUUAAAAAAAAUUAUUCCUUUUUUCAAUUUUAGGGGCAACCAACAGCAUAAUUAAUUUCAAAACAGCCUUUGAAAUGUUGGAUGGAACAAUCAAACCUAAACCUAACCUCAAAAUUGAUAUAGUACAAAUAUUAAAUUAUUUUAUUAUUAUUAUUUAUCCAAGCGAAUUUUAAAGAGUUAAUUAGUGGGAAACUUUAAUUUUAUUCUUUGUUAUGGAUUCUUAUUGAUUCCCUUAUAAGUUUAUAGCAUAUUGUGUUUAACAAAAGAGUUUGUCCUAACAUUUACAAAUUCAUGAAAACAGAAAAUAAAGGUUGGUUUUAUUUAAAGCAUGGCAUAGGAACCUUUUCCUUAAGCCAAAAAGUAACACUGACAGUUGAAAUAUGCAACUAAUCAAAGGCAUCAAAUAGCCAAAUUUAAAUUAAUACCCUAAAAAAUAAUGUUAUGAUUGAAUCUCUUAAUCUAUUAAUUAGUUCAUUAUUUUGAUUUCUUAUGAUUUUUAAUUCAUCUCAAUCCAAAAUUACAUUUUGAAAAAGGUAAUAUAUACAUAGUUGCACUCUAGGCGACACUUAAUUAACUUCAUGCAUCUCUCUUUUUUCUUCUAGGAAAAAAUGUUCAAAUAUAUCUACUGCAAUAAUAACCAAACUUUAGAUAAUGUCAAACGUUAUCAAUUAUAUUAAAAUUAAAAAACUUAAUAUAUCAUAACAAAUUAAUAAAAUGAGGGGAAAAAAUACAAAAUCAUCAAAAUUAUUAAAUAAAAUACAAAACAAUAAUGUGUUAUCCUAAAGGACAGCAUGCCAUUCUAUAUUUGGACCUUAGUAAGUAGAAAAAUGAUAAAGGAAUUUCCAUAUGCACAACUAAUUAAUUAAUCACUGACUUUCUCUUUUUUUUUUUUUUAGCUCAAAUAGAAUUCAAAUAUAGGAAUUGAAGUGUAGAGUCUGUAGACCAUCGAUCUUUUAAACUAUGAUACUAAAUUUGUUGAUUUAAUAUACUUAAAAAAUUAUAUAUUGACGAACAUAAUUCAAUAAAUAAUAUAUUAAUUAUCAUUUCGUACAUAUACACAAUAAGAAAGUAUCUCUUUAUUCAAAGAUAUUUCUUAGAAGCAGUUUACAACAAGAGAGAGUAUCCUUUAUUUAAAAAAAGAAAAAAGAAAAAGAAGAGUUACUAUAAGCAGUUUUUGAUUAGAACAAAUGGAAAUAAAGAUUUGAACUUGACCCUAAACACUCACAAACAGUUAUUUAGUAAUAGUUUCACGAUCUCGAGUAUAAUUUGUUGAUGGAUCGUAAAGUAAAAUAUGAAAAAUCAUAUAUAAUCUUGAUCACACAUGAUUUUUCAUCUUUUUUUAUAGUACGUCCCACAGAUUAUACACUGAAAUCAUUUAAACCAUAUAUAGUAAAGGGAAAAAGAAACUCAAAAAAGAAAAGAAUAGAAAAUAAAAGGUAAAAGAAUAUAUCAAAUGAUGGUAUAUUGGCGUUGCUCAGCAUAAUUAACAAGUGACUCGAAAUCCUUCUCGCCGAUGAAUCCAUCUCUGUCAGAGUCGGCAUGAAGAAGAGCGUGGCGAGCUCGGUAGGUCGGGAGAAAGGCGCCGAUAUAUCGGAAGGCUUCAGUGAGCUCGGUGGUGCUGAGACGGCCGUCCUUGUCGCUGUCAUGGUUUCUGAAGAUCAGAAGUAACUGUUCUCUUGAUAGCUUUGCCCUUGGGUAGUAGUUUUUGCUUUUUCUCGACAUUUUUAUCCCUACAAUUCUUCUUCCUUCCUCUCUUUUGCUCUCACUAUUUGCUUGUAAAGAGCUUUUGAAGUGUAGUUGUGUUUUGGGUUCUGCAUAUGUUGUCUUUAUAUAUAGGAGUUUUAUUAGUCAUGUGGGGGAUAUUAAAUUAAUUAUUAUUUAUAUAUUUUUCUAACAUUUCCUUUCUUUUAGUUUAGGGUUUAGAUUCUUGAACGUCAGAAUUGUUCUGUCAAAGUCAGAAAUAUUUUGGGUGAGGGAGAGGAAAAAUAAAGUUUGCUUCUUUUUUUUUUUUUUUUUUUGAAUAUGUGGGUGAAGGCAUCAAAUUUUGACAAAGAUUGAUAGUAUGUCCAUGAUGUAAUGCUUAUUGUGACUAUUCAGAUAGAGAUCAUGUUAAUAUAGUUUACUUUAUACUUAUUCUAUUUUACCAUUGGAUGCUUAAAUCUCAACUACAUAUUGUUAACUGUUAUUGUUUAUAAAGCUAAUAGAUAAAAGUAAAUUACUACACGAAAUAAAUAGUAAAUAAAUAAGUUGUGCUAUAUAAUUGUGUAAGAAUAGAUAAAAUGAAAGGGGUUAACAUAAAAAAUAACAAAUGAUAUGUUUAUUUUCUGUAUAUCUUUUCCAAUUUUGAAUAAUAAUUUUUUGGUUUAAUGAACGAGAGUAGAUGAAUUAGCCUUCCCCAUUUCCAUUCCCAUUUUUGUUUGUUUCUUUUUACUAAUUAUUGAUUAAUUUCAACCAAAUAAUUCUUUAUUUUCUUAAAUGCUUAAUUAAAUGACACAUUUUCAAAAAAAAAUAUUAUUUAAAUACAAGAUUAUAAAAUCAACAAUAAUAUUCUACAUGUAAUAUGCAAAGAUUUUUAAAGCGCUAAAUUCCACUAUUUCUAAAUAUUAAUACAUUAUUUAUUUAUAAAUAAAUUAAUAUAAUAGAACAUUCAAGGUCAUAAAGCAAGAAAAAGUCUUAAACAAGUUUUCAAUUACACAGAUAACGAUAAAGUUUUUUUAUUAAAGAAAAUAAAACCAUACAACAACAUAUCCAUCAUAGAUUAAUCAAACUUUGUAAGAGAUGACAUUAAUGAAUGGUGAAUCGGGUAAGAUGAGAGAGGGAAAGCGUUGUUUCAAGACUUCUUAAAAUUUUAUAUAAUUAUUGUUCAAUAAAAUACGUUAAUAUUAAUCCUUCAAACAAAUCGUUCGAGAUUUACCACUCUUAAAAUAAAAUAAAAAAUUUCACUUUAUUGAUUGUUUUCGACCUUCUCAACAAUCAAACUAAGAUUCUAGUAAUUUUUUCAAAUUUGGUAUAUUUUAAAAGAAAUUCAAAAUUCAACUAUUUUACUCAAUAUUAUACCUAAGUCUUAUGUCCAUCUAAAAACGGAUUUAAAGGUUUAAAAAAUUACUAAGAUUUUGAUAUAUAAUUAGUUUUGAUUUUGAUAUCAUACAGGGUGAAGGUAACUAUUUUGGAAAAGUAUGGGAAAUAUUUGAAAAAAAUUACUCCCGACAAGAUUCAAAAUAAUUGAUAAGUUGAAAAAAUAAAUAAAUCUUAGUGUGGAUUGAAAAAAAUUGUUUGAACAUAUCUUUAAAAAGUGCUAAUUUUGUAUGACAAAAACUCAAUUAUUCAAUUAUUGAAUUUCCAAUUUUUCUCUCCGUUUAGUAACGAGUCCUCGUAGGACCGAUGAAUUAAAUGAAUAUAUAUAGUGUUAAUCAACUUAAGGAAGGUAGCGAGUCUCUAAAAUUAACUUAUUUGGUAAGCCUCGUAAUUUCAAAAACUUAGACUUCUUUAAGACAUGUGGAUUAACUCUCAUUUCGUUUCUGUUUUUUUGUUUUAGAAGAUUAAUUUUUUUAAAAUAGAUAUGGUUGGUACUUCUAAUUUUUUUAAUAAAAUAAGUUAUUUAAACAUAUAUAAUUUUUUAUUUUAAUAAACAAAAAAUUUAAAACAGAAAAAAACAAUUAAAAAAUUGAAGUACAAUUAAAAAGAAAAAUCAAAACUUAUGAUAAAUGUACUUCAUGGUAAUUUCACAAGCAUAUAGUAUAUGUUAACUCUUUUGCUUUUUAUCCAACACAGUAAGUUAAUGUUACUCGUGGUAAAACAUUUAAAUCAAGUCAAUUUGUUUUCUAAACUAAUUAAAGCUUUAACUUUUAAAAGUUUCAACUCCUGUAAUAAAUUAACAUACAUUGUCAAAGUUUCUUUUAAUACAUGUUUAAUAAUAAUAAUAAAAAGAUUAAUUAAGAAGCAACGUUUUGGAUUAAAAAAUGAAAAUAUUUAAAACGAGAGAAGAGGGAAAAAGAAAACAUGUUUUCAUUGAUAAUAAUUUUCAUUUCACAUUUAUAUUUACUGUACUUGAAAAUCUUCAUCUUUAAUUUUUUUACUAAAACAAUUCAAUUUCUUCAAACUACUUUUAGAUUUAAUGUCAUUAUUUAAUUCAUUAUCGUAUAAUUAGUUUAAUUUGGAGGGUUUGACAGUCAAAAAGAACAAAAAAAAAAUUAACUAUUGAAGUAUUUAUAAAGUUUAUUUUAAAUUGAUUUUAAUAAAAAUAAAUCAUUUUUUUAAGUUAAUCUAAACGUGCUUUUAACAAUAACAUUUUUAAAAUUAUAAAAUAAAUUAACGACAAUUUUGGAUUCUAUCCAUCUCUAUUAAUAUUUAUUAUCAAUAUAAUUUAAAAAUUUGGGUGUAUGUUUGAUAACUUUUAAAAAUUAUUAAAAAAUAGAUGUUUCCAUUUUCAAAUUUUAGAAAAGCUUAGGAACAAAAUCAGAUUUAAAGCAAUGAAUUCAAAUUCUGGAGGUUGGAAAUUUUCAAUUAAUUAUGUGUAUAGUUGGAGUUAUCUUUAAGUUUAUGCUUUUGUUAAUUUUUUUUUGGGAACAUGAACUUGAAAUUUAAAAUUAGAUUGUGAUAUGGAAAGAUAUUGGAAUCCAAUAAUUCAUUGUAUUUAGAAAUAAUUCUCUGCCUGUUCUUUUUAUUAGAAAAAAGAAACAGAAGAAUAUGAUCCAGAAGAAAUAUAAAUGUUAAACGAUAAAAAUAGGGUUAAGAUUAAUGUCAUCAUUUGGCACUUUGAAGAAAGUAAAAUUGUAAAGAAUCUUUUUUCAAUGUAGACUCCCACUUCCACUUCCACCCACCUUCAUAAAUUUAUAUUCCUUCUACAUUUUAUUAGUAUUUUAUUUUAUUUUUCCAUGUGUAAUUAAUGAAAAAAAAACCAUUUAAAAAUUUAAGACAAGACUCAAUCGAGCAUUGGAUACGAUCAAAAAUAUUAGAGUUUUUGCAUGUCACAUAAUAGGACGAUAUGAUUAUGUAUCUUAUGUUCUUGUAGUUGAGUUCUCCUUAGUUAUUAGUUUGAAUGGAGAGAUAUUAUUACGUGUGCUUAAUCAAUCUAAAUACAUCGUGUGCUUAAUCAAUCUAAAUACAUGUAUGGUAAUCUUAUAGUUUUGAGAUAUAUUUGACUCGAAUUUAUACCAAUAGAGUUCUUUUUUAGCUUAAUUUGGACUAAGAAUAAAACAAGAUAGAGCGACAUGACAAGAUCUGUAAAGUUUGUUUCCGUUUAUGGUAAUUAAAAAAAUAUAGACAGAGCAUCAAUUCAUUGAUAUAAAAUUUAACGCAAAAAUUGAAAUUAAAAUUUUUGAAAAAUGACCGUGAAUAUUUAAAGAUAGUUAACGGUUUGAGAUGUUAAAAAAGAGAAUAGUAAUAUUUGGUCAUACUAUGACAUUUCAUUUUUCUAAUUAAUGGAGCUUUUAACUUAGUAAUUGAUAUGACAUUUGAUUUGAGAUAGAAGAGGUUUGAUUCUAAAUAUGUGAACAAAAUAAUUUUUUAAAAAUAUAAAAUAAAACGUAAAUUGGGGAAACAUUACAUUUUAAUAUUUUAAUAAUAUUCAUCGGUCGUAGUUGGUUUUUUUUUUUAUUUCUAGUUUUGUUUUUUUUAAAUGAUAGGUUUAAAUCUUAUUUUGGUUUCUAAACUUUAUGUCUUAUUAUAUAAAAUAUCGUUAACUCUAACGAAAUGAUGAGAUGACUUCUAUAUCUCGAUGAUAAUGCUACUAAAUAAUAUAAUUAACUCUUACCAAUCUAGGGUUUUAAUUUUUAAUCAAAGACUGUAUGGUAAAUAGAUGUUUCAUCGGAGAACUAAAAAAGUUACUUUGUCUUCAAGAAUUUUGUUCAUCAUCAUUUUGAUGCAUUGUCGUUCAACUGUCACUUUCUCAACUCACAUGCUAAGAUGCAAUUCUCAUCCACAUACACAGUUUUUAGUGUCUCAAGUUUGACGUUUUUUGUGAUUCAUUGGGGUGUUUUUUUUUUCUUCUUCCUCUCGGGGGGGGUUGUGAAUCUUUGUGAAAAUAUUUACCUGCAAUUUUGUGAGUUUAUUUUAUAUACAUGUGUUAUAUAUAUUUUAUUUUUCUAGUUUACCUUGUCAUUAUAUUUAUUUUUUUAUUCUACUCAAUGUCAUCCUUUUGAUCAUUUGUUUCCACAUUUCAAUUUGAAAUAAAAAUAAAAAAGGAGGAGGAGCGAUGAGAGGAUGUGAGAGAUUUAAGUUUUUUUUAAACAAGAUUAGUUUUUAAUUUAGGUUUUAUUUGAUUCAAAUGUAGUGUUGACGUAAAAGAUUAUAGAAUAAAUUAGUAAGAUUUUCUAAAUAUUUAUCAAUUUGAUUAAUACGAUGAAUCUAAAGUCUAAUCAUUCAAAUAUAGAAUAAAUUAGUAAGACUCAAUGAAAUUCUAAUAACAUGGAUCAAAGUAAGUUUUUUUCUUCUUAAAAAUUAAAAACUUCUGGGACGAAAAAGGACAUUUUCUAAAAUUUAUAAACCAAAAUAGAACUCGAUACAGAGUUUAUGAACUAAAAUAAGAUUUUAACCUAAAAAACAAUAUAUUAUUUGUCUAUGCAAAAUGUUUUGUAUUUAUUUGUUAGUAAUUCAAUAUUUUUUUUAAUUGAAAUAACUAUUUGAAUUAUCAUGUUUAUUUUGCUUCAUAUAAGAUGAAUAUGUGGAUUGUCAUCACUUAGAUGUAUAUGAAUUUAAACACUCUUAUGGAAAGCAUCCAAAAAUACAACUUUUCAACAUUCUUAGAUUGAGCUUAUCAUUUUUAUUUCUCACUUGUUUCCUUCUCCACCGUGACUUCUAAUUUACUCCAAUUUAAAUUUAAACUAAUCCUUAUUUUAUAAGAAAAAUGUUAAAUAUAUAUAAAAACAAUAUCAAUGAUAAUCAUUUUCUUUUAAAAAUCAAAUUAAUAAAAAGAUAUACGUUGUAUAAAUUCAAAAUAUAUUAAAGUAAUUAUAAAUAAAUGAAGAAUUAAGGCUAAAAUAUUAUUGGAAAAUGAUCUGAGUAGAAUAUAUUUAGUAGUAAAAAUCCUAUUAAUUGAUUGUGAUUGUUUCAUGUUCGUGUAGAUAAAAGUAAACAAACCUAAAGUAGAAGGGAUAAGAAAAAAAAAGAGAGACUAAAAAGAUAAAUAGAAGUAAGUAGUUUUUUUAUGUGUACUCUCUUACUUUUCUUACAAUUACAUUAAACUGGCAUAUGAAUAAUUGGUGAUGCUCGACUCUUUUAUUUGUGAGGUUUUGGUUCGUAGUUGUUUCUUAAGAUAUUUAUUUACUUAAAUGUUUUAUGUAAUUUUCUUUUCUAGUUGAGGUGUGACAAGGGUUGGUUUCUUCUUUCUAACAAGUAUGGUAUGUUGAACAAUUUAAUUUAUGAUUUUUUAUUUUGUUAUUAUAGUUUUAGAAGAAAAAAAAUGAAAACAUUUGUAUAUAAUACGUCUUAUGUUUGUCUUGGUAUCUUUUUCUAUGGACACAAAUAAAUGCUACUUUAUAGCUUUUGACAUUUUCACUAGCACGACACGUGUUCAUUAUUAAAACACAAAAGAAUUUUUAAUUGUUUCUUUUCUUAUCUUUUGUCACUUUUUAUACAUAUAUACUUGUCUCAUCGUCAAAAGGCAAAAGAUAAAUUAAGAUAACUUUUUGAAAAGUUGCAUUAUAUGACAAAAACAUUUAGAGAAAAACAACUCAUCACAUCUCUUUUUUUGCAUAUUGUUGAAUAUGCAUGGCAAAUAUAACAAGUGAUUAAUAAUAUCAGACGACUAUCGACUUUUAAAUUUAUUACUUUUACAAUUUAGAAAAUAUAAUAACAUCAGUAUUUUUUGUUUUUUUUUUUUUUUUUUUUGCUAUUUUUCAAGUAUUCUUAACUUUUUUUUAUAUUUUUAAAGCAAGAUAUUUAAAGACAAACUCAUGUCAAUUUUUUAAUCCAUCCUAGUUGCUUUGGCCAUAAUACUAAAUCAAAGUAUAAAAGAAUAAUAAACAAUAAAAAAAAAUGUUACUAAUAUAAAUAUAAUAUAAGUCGUAUACAUGUUAAUUCGUUUAAAAAUGUUAAAAUGUUUAUUUUUAUUUUUUCAAAAAAUAAAUCGAUUAAAAAAUAUAUUGAUCUCAAUGCUAAUAAACUGGAGUUAAUAUAUUUUUAAUUUAUAAUCAUUUAACCUUUAAAUUUUAUUUUAUAGUAUGAACAAUAUUAUUAAAGAUAUUGUUAAGGGAAGUUUAAUUCAUUGAUAGGUAGAUGAACAAAAUUGGAUGUGUUUAUAAACUACAACUGUUACAUUGUUACCAUGGUAGAAUUAAUUAUACUAUUAAAUUUUGAUGAAUGAUUGAUGUAUUAUUUGAAGCUCUAUUUUAAUAACCGAUUUUUUGUUUCUACUUUUCUAAAUUUAAGUUUAUAACCCUUAUUACUAUCUCUAAUAUCUCUAAUGUAAGUAUUUAUGCUUUUGUAUUAAGUUUCUAUGUACAUUUUCAAAAUCAAUCCAAGUUUUGAAAAUGUACUUAAAGAAGUUCGUUAGCAUUUUCAAGUGUUGUUUCAUCUGUAGUGAAAUUCAUAAUUAUUAGAGAAAUAAUUAAGAGUUGAAGUAUUUAAUUAAAGAAAAUCUAUAAAUUGUGAUGAAAAAAAUGGUUUAAUUUAUAAGGUUGAGAUAUAUUAUUCCUUCUUAGAACUGACAAUUCACAAACUUUAGCAUAAAGCUGUUGUAUUGAUAUAUUUCUUUUGUACCUUGUUUUCUUCUUUUCAUUUUAUGAUAGAGGAUUAUCUUUGGUUAUGAAUUUUAUUAUAAUGUUUUAUUGAAUUUAUAAAUUUUAGAAUGAAAAAUUACGAAAGAUGACGAUUAAAUUCAAAAUAUUAAUAAAAUUUGAUCUAUACCAAUAUCACUUAUAGAUUAUAAGAAUUUAUCAAACAUAUAAAUCUAUUAGUUAUAUUUAUAAUUUUCUAAAAAGUAUAUACUUAACAAUUAUUCAUAAAAUCGUUUCCUGUUAGACUCACGUGUAUCAAUUUACAUUCUUAUUUGUCAAAGUUCAUUAUUAAAAAAAAUUAUUGAGUUAAAUUUAUAAUUAUCUCAAUUAAAUUUCAUAAUUUUUCCAAUGUAAAUCGAGCUAGACAUUUUAAUAAAGAUUAUCUUAAAAUCAAUGCAAAUUAUUUUUAAAGAAACCAUAAGUGAAAAUUUUAAAAUUUAGCUAAUGAAUAUAACUAAAAUUCUGUAUUUAAAGUGAAUUUGCCUUUUUUAUUCUUUUGAUUCGACCUUUUACUUAUUUUGUAUGAAAAAAAUAAAAUGAAAGUUUAACACCAUAUUUAUCAACCGAAAGUUGAUUUUGAGGAAUAAAUUGACAUUGAUAUUUUUCUAAAAAUAAAUUAUAUGGAUCUUUAAGCUUAACUUAUGUAAUUUAAAAAAUCAUUAUUGGAUGAAAAACAGAACAUUCAAUUGAAAGAAAAAUAAUAGGUGUCUUCAGAAUGAAAUUAUGCUUUAAUGUACAAUUAAUGAAAUUAUUGUACAAUUUUCUUUUAAAAAAUGGGGGAAAUUAAAGAAAAGAAAAGCAUAAUUCAAAGAAAAAUAAGGAGUGAGCUUAUAAUGGAAUUAUUGUAAAUAGACACAAUUAUUGGAAUUAAUGUAUAAAUAAACUUUAAAAAGACCAAAAUUUAAAUAAAAUAAUAAAAGAAAGAUAUUGAUGUACAAAAAAGAAAAAAAAAAAAAAGGGACAAAAGGAAUAUGAUAAUAUGUUGAAGACAGGAUGGGUAAUACAUUCUUUGUGUCUAUUCCCCAAAUUAUAUUAAACAAAAAUUCUCCAUUCUCCAUUUUCUAUAUUCUAUUUAAUUUAUUCCAAGAAUAAUCACUCACACUCUCAAAUAAAAAGAGUUUAAAUAUCAUUUUAUAUUUUAAAAUCUUAAUAUAAAUGACCAAAUAUUAAAACUAAUUAUAAAAUAUAGUAAAAAAAAUUAAUUACAGCUGUUCUUUAUAAAUAUUUUUAAUAUUUUACUAUUUUUGAAAACGUCUCUUUUUUAUCUUUUAAAUUUUAUUUUAAUAUUAUCAAUAUGUGAAAUUUCAGUAGAUAAAUCUUCUCGAAAAUUCCCAAGUAUCGUCUCCAACCAUCAUAAUAUUUAUUUAUAGCAACCUCAUAUUAAUAAAAGAAAAAGAACAUUGUUAUGAUAGAUAAGAUUUUAAAGAAUAUAUUUUAUUGUAAUGAUUAAUUAAAUUAAUUAAUGUGGUUAUUAUAAUGUAGAAAUUAGAUUUGGUUCCAUCAGUUAGAAAAGGAAGAAGAAGAAAAUUAAAGUGUAAUUAUAAUUAACAAAUAAAUAAAGUGUGUGAAGUAUGAGCCGGUGCAGGCGAUAUAUAUGUGUAAAAAUUGGUGUGGCACAUGUUUAUUUAUAAAGCUUAAAAAGCAUAUAGUAUAAUAAAAAUAUUAUUCUUCAAUUAAUUAAUGUAACAACGACCAUUUGUCUAAAAGAAACAGAGCCCUAAGUGGAGUAUUCCAUUUUGAUUUUAUUUAUUUAUUUGUAUGUAUAAGUUUUUCAUUUAUGAAAUUAAAAAUAAGACACAUACAACUGUUAUACAGCUACCUCAAUCCACUCAUUUCCUAAUACAAUACAAAUAUAAUCAUCUAAUACUUAUAUUGGUCACCAAAAAUUCAUUAGAUUAUAAAAAAACUAGGGGUAUUGCCAAUAUAUAACAUAUCUAUUAUUAUAAAGGUUAGAUGCCAAAUUUUUUAUUCAUAAAAAAUGCAAUUGAUCCUUCAUCGAUAAAUUUGUAAUUUUGGAGAGGAAAAACUUACCAAACAAAAGAAAAGAAAAAAACUAGGUGUUACAAUAAUUAGAAGUUUUUAAAAUAACGCAUGGAGUUAUAAUAGUGUAUUUUUAGAGGAUUUGAGAUUUAACUGUCUAAGAUCAAUAUAUGACUUUUCCUAAUCCUACCCAAGUUAGAUUAAAUCUUAUUUUAUUUUAUAUUAUUUUAAUUCUCAGCUUUAUUUCGUUAAUUCGUUAAGUUAAAAAUUCUUCCUAAACAAAAAAAAACUAAAACAACUCAUUUUCAAUAUAUAUAUAUAUAAAAGGACAUAGUAAGAUUGAAUUAUAAAUAUUAAAAUUAUAAUAAGCAUACUCUGUACUGAUUGUUUUGAAUUUAUGUGUAAAUGAUAUAUAUAUAUAUAUAUAUAUUUAUGUGUAAAUGAAGAUAUAGCGUAAAAAUAUGAAUAUAACACUAAAAGGCUUAAAGGCUUAUAUAGAAGAAUAUAUCAACAUAAGCAAAAUGGCUAUAAAUUAAAAAAUAAUGAAGACAUUUUGUUUGAAUGAUUUUCUUGAUUGAAUUUUCAGAUUACACGAUUUCAUUCGUGCAAUUUUGGUAUAUACAAUUAAAUGUAUGGUUUGAGUUUAACGAUAAUUAAAGAUUUCAUAUAAUUACAUUGUCACGAUAUAGUUUUUUUUAAAAAAAAAUGGUAGAAAAUAUAAUUUUAGUUGGAUGAUUAGUUUGAACUAUAGUGGUUUUAGUUAGAAUAUUGUUUGUUUUUAAUAAGUAGAACUAUAGUCGGUUAAGUAAGAAGAUGGUUUGUGAGUAGAAAAUAGUAUUAUCUAAUAAGAGAUAAUUUCAUACAAAUUAUUAUCCAAGAAGCAAAUACCUGAGCCCUCCCUAUGAGGCAAUAAAUUGGGCGAUGCAAUCAGGUGGAGAAGAGGCCCACGAAAUACAACAAUAUUCUUCUGAAAUAAAUAAGCCAAAGCCCAUGGGCUUUUCUAUUACAACCACCAAAUUCUACAGCCUCUAGUUUUUAUAUCCAUACCCAUUCAACCAUAUGCUAUUUCUUUCUUUCCUUCCUUCUUCUUUAUUUAAAAUAUGAUAGUAAUACUUUAAAAAAUUUGUAAAUACACUAAAAUCUGUCAAACUAGAAAUCUUAUCGCCCAUAGAUAAUAUUGUAAAUAUUGGUCAAUUAAAGAUAGAAGUCUAUGACUAUAUAUUUUAGUGUAUUUACAAUUUUUUUAAAUUUUGUUAUAUACUUAAUUAUUAUUUCUAAAAUUGCAACUAAUUAUAAUUGCUCUACAAAAUAAUUAACGUGUUCCUUUUUGCGAUGAUUGUUAGAGCAAAUUCAAAAUCGAGUAACUUGCCAACCUAAUAUAUACUCAAUAAUUGAAAGAAAUAUCAAUUAUCUAGAGGCCGAGUUUAAUUGAAAGAAAUUGAAACUGUUUUCAUGGGAGUUUAAUUUGAGAAUAAGAAGUUUUUUUUUUUUUUCCACAUUUUGCAUUACUAAUGAAAUUUGCUUACUAUUUUAUUCCAUUAAACACAGAAAUACACAUUGUACCUUUUUAGUACCACAACAAAUAUGGAAUAUAAAAAUAAUAUGGAAACCUAGAGUUUGAUAAAUUUUAGUUUGGCUUCAUCCCAAAAGGUUGCAUUUGAUCUAGAUAGUGAUGAUAGUUAUUCUUAUUUACCAUGUUUACCCAACCAUAAAGAAAAGUAGUUUGAUCUUAAUAAAAUUUCAUUAAUGAAUCUAUGUUCGUUGUUUGAUUUUAGAAUUAUCAAGUUAAGUUGUUACGAUAUUGUUACCAUGGAUAUAAUCUAUCAUAUUUUUGGUUAAGCAUUGCUAGAACCUAUUGGUUAGUUUAUAAUUCUAAUAAUGUUAACAAGUAAGUGGGUUCCACAUAAAAUUCAAACAGCGAUCCUUUAAUCAAACCACUACAAGAAAAGGGGCUCUCCGUACAAAAUCGUCGGGAGAUAUAUGAAAAACGUUGAAAAAGCCUUUUCCGACGCAUAAAUAUACGCCCAAGUUGGAAAAAAUGUGUUGGGAGUUUCUAGACAUCUCCCGACGUUGUAUGAACGUCGAAGACGAUGUAAAUAUAGUGUCAGAAGAUGUCUCGAAACUCCCAACACACAAUGAUGUGCGUCGGGAGUUCCUCUAUUUUCUUUAAAAAAAAUCCUUCAAUUUUAAAUGGAAGGUAUAUACAUUUAUUUCUUGUAUUCACCCCCUCCCAUUAAUUUUUUAUUCACCCAUCUUUAAUUAUUAAUUCAACACCCCCUCCUUAAAAAUUCUAAUCCAAUCCUAAACCCCUUUAAUUUUUAAUCAACCAUUCUAAUCAUCCCCUCAUAAAACAUAAUAUUAUUCCUAAAACAUAAUUCAAAAUCCUAUUCCUCACACAAAAACUAAUUCAAAAACCAAAUUUCUAAUUCAAAACAUAAUUUCUAAUCUAAAUAAAAAUAAAUUACAUCAAACUAAUAUAAAAAAACCCUACAGUAGAGGUGAGAUCUCCUCUUCUUCUUCUCGGUCUCCCUCUCUCUCAUUUUUUCUUUCUCUUUUCUCUUUCAAUUAUGUAAAACUAAAGGAUUUAAUAGAAGGAUAACUCCCGACGUUGGAUGAAUACGUCGGGAUAUACACCAUUAGGUACUCUUUUUUCCGACAUUUCCAAACAAGUUUUUGUGCAUCGGAAAAAUUCCAAUUUCUUGCAGUGAACUAUAAGUUCUUUAAUUUGAUAAUACAAAAUUGAAAAUGAUUACAAAACACAAACGUAAUCAUCCAUCCGUUUAAAGUAGUAAUUUUAUUGUUAAUCAGCUCAAUUAGGGCAUGUAAAUUGCCCCAUCGAAUAUAAAAGAUAAAAAAGUUGGUCUCAUCUAAGAUCAAGCAAAAAGCUUGAAAGUAUAAAAGAUAAAAAAAGGAAAUAAUAGAAGGUGAAGGGCAGUUAUUGAAAUUUAUUUUGAGUAUAUAAUACAUGUAGACUUCAAACUACAACAAGUGGCGAACUCGCGGCGGGGGGAACGGAAAGAUUUGAAACUCCGAUCUCGAGAAGAAAUAAGAAGCAUAGACUUCACUUAGUUGUGGUAAUACAAAUAGUUUACAAUAUGACAAAACAAAGAACUAAGACGAAGGAUUCAAAUAAUAGCGUAUUCGCAUCUUACAGCGUAAUCAAGAAGGCGAUCAAGUUCAUCGAGAGUAACGUAACCAUCGCCGUCGGCAUCCGCGGCUUUGAGUGACUGGCGAGCUCUGAAACGGCUCCAAUUAGACCCUAAGGAUUCAAAGGCCGAUUUCAACUCCAGACGUGAAAGACGGCCAUCGCCGUCGCCGUCGUGCUUGAGGAAAAUAUCACGAAGCUGAUCUCUGGAGAAAGGAACAGGACAUCGCUUGUAGUCGCUAACGCCGUUGCUGAAGACGAAACUCAAAGCCAUGGAAUUUUCUUUUUAUUAUUAUUAUUAUUAUUAUUAUUAUUAUAAGUUUACGGGAUG